CUCAAGUACGAAUUCCACAGAUUCUUCAAGCUCCAAGCUCGAAUUCGAUACAAGGUUUUGCGAUUUCCUAAUCACAAAUCCAUUCGACAGAACGUAUCGAGGCCCGGAGAUCGGAUUCGGGCGCAGAGACACGUGCGCGCCGGCUUGGAACAGGACGGGCAGACGUGCCGCAUCGGAUUGGUGGAGCGAGCCGUUUCCGACAUUUUUGCGGAGCCGCGGCGGGCGGUGGCGGCGAUCCGGCUGGGGAAGGAGGGAGCUUGAGGAGGAGGAGGGUGGCCGGGGACGCGUAUCGAAACGGGCUCGGAUUCAGGUUCGGGAACGGGUUCGCGAAUCGGAUUCGGGUUGUGAAAUGGACCCGCAUUUCCCCAGAAAUUGGGAGAUGAUUUUUGGGAAUCUUGAGAGAAACGGUAGGGGCCAGAGCGGGCAGUGGCGCUGUUUGGCCAAAACGGUCGAGCAAAUGGUUUUGAAUUUACUAAUGAGCGUGCCAGCGGCGGCCUCUAUGAUUCAAAUCCGAAAAAUAGUGUGCAUAGGCCAAUCGAUGACUGCCGCCAUCAGGUGAGGCUGAAUAUCAUGGCGGCGACCAAGUGGUGGAGAUUGUUCUCGUGGGUUUAUCAUGCUAUGAGACGGCAACCAUUGUAGCAAUGGUCGAAAUCAGGAUGAUGAAUGACCGAAAUCAUGCAUCUAGACACAGUAAGUAUCCACUUAGAUCAAAUGGUCAACAAGUUAACAAUUGAGGCCUUGAAGAUUUUAGCAGAGGAAGUUGAUAUGUUCUUUAGAUCCUUGGACGGCGGUUGCAUUUGCGCUUCAGAUUGUAAUAGCAGCCUCAGGGUUCCUCCUUUCGAAGUCUUCUGAGUAUGUAUCACUUAGACAUCCUAAGCUUCAUAUCAGCUGCUAAUAAUGCUGCGAAACUUCACAUAAAAUUGCCUUCUUGGAAUUUGCAUGAGUAGUGUCCAAUUUCAACCUAGUGAGGAACUUUUUGGCCAAAAAAAAAAAGAAAAAAUAAUUGGUUGAUGUUUCAAAUUAACCAAAGGACGAUGGAUCUAAAUAUCUAAGAAACUAAAGGACUAGCAAAGUCUACUUCCUGUUCGACUUAGAACUGAAAGGAAAAUUUAUAAAAUUUAUUAUUAUGAUUGAUCUUUCCAAAAUGUUGCCUCCUAAAGAAAAGGGAGAAUUUUGGGCGAUACCGCGUUUAAUUUGUUUGUGUUUAGAAAUGAUUUCGAACAUGAUAUUGCAUAAACUUGUUGAUUGAAAAUGUUGUGCCACACACGUUACUACUUGCUCUUUUGGAUCAAACCAACUUGACAUGGAUUGAACUGUUUCAACAUUAAACUAUUCAAAAUAUUUGAUCUGCUUACUGAUUUUAUCAUAUUUGGAAACACGGGCGGGCAAGUUUUCUUUUUGCCCUUUGUUGUCAAAAGAAGAAGAAAGAAUUGCAUAGCUAUCACCUCUAUUUUGACAAAUAUAGUAGCUUCCCAUGUCUGGGAUAAGACGAUGAAACUCGCAAGGGUUCAUCCUAAGUCGGCUUGUGCUUCGUACAAUGUCUUGUAACCGACUUGUUAGCUUAGUACCCCGAUUACCUUAUACUCCUUUUCUUCAAUUAUUAUUUUAAUACACAGAGAGAGGGCCAAUGCUGAGGUCUUGAUGAGCACCGACUACCCUUGAGCAACCACUUCAACACUUCCUGGAAGAGAGAGGAAACACACCUCCUUCUCUUCAUUUCCAUUUUCCUAUUAUUUUGUUUUUUUUUUUUUUGUGGUCUUUGCCUUUUAUUUUUUUAAAAUUUUUGCCUUUUUUUUUAUAUGUCACAUUAGCGCCAUGCAUUCUCAAAAUUUUUAGAAAUGUCAUAUCUCCACUUUCCAUCACUUAAAUUGAACGCAUCUAAUAACUUGAUUGCUUUAAUUAAAUUAGUUUACAACUUCAUAUUACUUUUAUCAUAAGUUCUAGAACUUAGGUGCCCAUAUUAAAAGAAAUGAAAGAAACGUCGAAGAUAGAGAGAGACAAGGGGCUGGUCUUGUGUCCGGUUCAUUCCGGGUCAGCAAGUCGAUAAUGUCACUAGCCAUGAAUUAUGGAGGAACUUGAUUUCAUUAACAGAGAAAAGCUGAAGGACAUAUUUCCUUUUUUCCCCCGAGAAUGACAGCACGUGAAUUCGGAGGAAGCUCCUAGAGGCACGGUCUGUCCUUAAGCCACACGUUAGAUAUAUUAUUGGUAAAUGGUAAUGAACAUCAUAGUUUCUUAUGGAAUGAUCCUCGGCAUCCUCAUGGGGUGUUGUUUGGAUGUUUAUCCCAAAAAACUAAUUUAUGAUGUUGCACUGGGCCUGAACUCUCUAGUUGCUGGUGUCAUUUGUAGAGAUGAGUGGGUUUGUCCUCCAGCAGGAUCAAAAUUGUUUGUGCAUAUUCAAGCAGCCAUAUGUGGAACGAUCUUUCUCCUGCUCUGCUUUUGAGGGUAGAGCAAUUUUCAAAGGAAAUUCCUCUGGAUGCUUCACCCAGGCAGAUGCUAGGAAGUGGGUAAGGGAUAAAAUGCAGAAGAUCUAAUCCAAGUUUGCAUAAAUUCAGCGUUGUAGCUUGGCUUGCUAUCUUGAACAGGCUGCAAACCUUGGAUGGGAUAAAAAGGGGGUCCUCCAUUGAUGACAAAUGUGUCUUAUGCUAUUCUUCCCAAGUCUAGGAAACCUUUGUUUUUUAGGGUGCCUUCUCAAAGGAUGGAGAUCUCUAAUGGGUUUGGUUAAAGUUUGUUGGAACGUUAAUAAUUGGGAUAGAAUGAGUUCUUUAGAGCUUGUAGAGGGAGGUCUUUGACUAAAAUCGUAUUGAAACUCAUUUGGAAUGGUGCCAUCUACUCUAUUUUGGGGAUAGGAAUGGAGUUUUUCACAAUCGUGCUGCUCCUCCGUCUGAUGGAGCUGUUAAAGUGGCGGUCUUUGGUGUGAGACUCCGCAUCAAGCUGUGGUAGGAAACAAAGAGUCUUUCGAAUGAUGCAGAGAAAGCUCUGUAUAUGAUAUUUUGGAUUGUUUGUUAAGUCUGGGCGUUUUCUGUUGUUCUUUCUAUACGCUUCAUAUACUAACCCGAAAAAAAGAGCUAACGGAAUUAAUUGCAAGUUGGAGGAUUUCAUAGCACAAAAAUGAUAAAGCAAGACCGUAUCUCAAUAUUGAGAUAUGGUUUUUUUUUUUUUAACCGACCAAAAAACAAAAGACCGUAUCUCAAUAUAAGAUUUGCAUUUACGGGAUUGGUUCUUAUUUUCUUUUUAUGGUUUCCAGUGCCACUCACCACGUGCAUCUUUCCAUGGAGGUUGGACCUGGCGGCUAGUUCCUUGAUGUUGGUCCGGUCCUAUAAUCCGAAAAGUCCUUUCCUGACUGCCAUUGACUCUGUUUUUCCAUUUCAUAAAAAUGCCCGACUUUUGAUCUUUCUCGAGUACCCCAAAAGCCUGACAAAUCCAUAAACUCCUGAAAAUUUAAACUGGCAACCUCCUGAAAUUCCUGACGCUAAUCCCUUCCGUGGUCCAGAUUGCCAGAGCAGCUUUGGUCCUUCCUUUUCAUCUAUGUUUGCUACUUUGGAAUUUCCAAUUUCGUCGGUUCUUGUCUAUAUCUGCUAUUUACCCACUCUGAGGGAUCCUCAGGUGGUUCUGCUUACUGGGUGAUAUUUCUUUCGUUUUUUUUUUUCGGUUGGAUGGUUACUAAGUGAUUGGGAAAGGGUUUAGUAUGGUUUCUUUUUUAUACAUGCAGAUCUUGGCUGACUUCAUUCUUUUCUAGUUAGCUCGAAGUUGUCUCCUCUCUCGUAGCUCAGAAUAAGUGAUGCCUAGAGAGGUUGAUCCAUUUCGGAGGCAUGUGGAGGUUGUGGCGAACAAGUGGAAGUGUAAGUUUUGUGGCAAGGAUUUUGGUGGAAGUGCUACAGGGAUCAGGGCACACCUCGUGGGGGCUCUGGGCUAUGGUAUUAAACUAUGCGAGAGAGUUGAUGAGCAUGUGGGAUCCCAAGCUUUGAUAUUGAUGAAAGGUAAAAGUGUGGCGGAUGCAACCAACAGGGUAUGGGCCAAAUUGUAGUCCUUGGUAGUGACCAUGCUUCGAGUCCCCAUAGUAUGCAGGACUUGAAUCGAAACGUCCCAGAGCAACCAUCUUGCCAUUGGCAGAAUGGAAGUGUUGCUGGUGCAGCUUCGUAGAUUGUCAGCAUCAAGAGACCUUGUGUCUCGUUGGCAUGCCAGUGGGUGAUGCAGAAUUGCCCCCGCAAGGGCCGCAACCCAAUGGGUCAAUUCAACGCUUGAAUGAUGAACAUGGAAACGAAAAAACUUCAUCUCUCCAGCAACCUGCAACCGAUCCCUUGGCUUCGAUUUUUCUUGAUCCAAAGUUAACUACCAGAGCUUUUUGAUCAGUUUAUUGAUCUGGAGACGAGGUAUGAACAACGGAAUAGUAGAGGGCCAUCACCAUUGCAAAGUCAUCGAUCCCUUAAUAACAGCGUGACAAAUGGGUUGCAUCAAGUCAACUAGACCUGGUGGUGCUGCGCCUGGUCCCCGUCUCAGUGACACAAGUACAAUUGGCACUCCCCAGCAUCCCAAUCAAACUCAUUUGGGCUUUGAUGAACAAUGGAGAGGUGAAAGCGCUCCAUGUCCGCAAAUAUCUUCAGCAGAGUGGGUGUCUUGUCUUCUCGAUAUGCCCUAUCAGCCACAGCAUUCCAUUCCAUCUUGUUAUUCUGAGGAAAUGCCAAUGAAUGACCUGCAGAAUUGAACGGGUGCAUCGUCGUCACAAAAUGAUCAAUCCCUUGACGUUCAAAUUGUUUGCAACACUGCAAUUAAAUCCCUAUUGCCGAAGUAGUUCCGCUGUCCAAUGCUACAAGUGUAACCAAUGCCGUUGAGCAUUUUAGUCAACAUCCACUUCUUAUAUGUGAUGAAGAAUGUGAAAAUGAGAGUAGUUCCUUUCCCUCACAAGCUUCAAUGGACAUAUCUCCGCCAAGUGUAUUACAGCCUUUCACUGGCCCUCAUUCUUUUGAGAAACUGGACGUAGAUUCCCAAGUUCCACAGGGCGGAACUAAGAAGGCCCAUUGUCAUUACAAGGUAUGCCUUGAAGUGAGCCUUCUCUUCUCUUUUCUACUGUCUCCUAUUUAACAUCUCCCACGUUUUCCUAAUUAUAGGUGUAUCCUUGAAUGUUUCAUAUGUGCACUUUCUCUUAUUUUUUAAUGAUGAUAUUAUAUGAGAAUAUCAAACAGACGUAGAUGUUAGUUUCAGUGUAGAUGUUUUGUGGGAUUAAGUCUAGAUUUUGACUCUACUUACGCUUGUGGCUNNNNNNNNNNNNNNNNNNNNNNNNNNNNNNNNNNNNNNNNNNNNNNNNNNNNNNNNNNNNNNNNNNNNNNNNNNNNNNNNNNNNNNNNNNNNNNNNNNNNNNNNNNNNNNNNNNNNNNNNNNNNNNNNNNNNNNNNNNNNNNNNNNNNNNNNNNNNNNNNNNNNNNNNNNNNNNNNNNNNNNNNNNNUUGAUUACAUGUUUCCCACAAGCUCCGAUGGACAUAUCUGUGAGUAGUCCAUCAUCACCGCAAGGUACAUGUUAAUUCAUCUAAACUGAUCCUUAUGUAUCCUGAUGUUACUUAAUUAGGGAGAAGCAUGAAUGCUUACAUUAGGAUCUAACACGUAGAAUUCUUGAUUCACAAUCAGCUAUUUAUAGAGUCAUCCAAACGCUGGCAACUUCGAAAAUAAUGGAGCCUUGAAAAGAAAGGUAGAACGACUCUACAAUAGAGAAGCUGACAUAAAGAAUGAUAUAGAAUUUGCUGCAUCUCUAUCUCUGAAGAAGCGGAGAAUAGAAGUUGUGAAUUGGUUGACAAACGUGGAAACGCAGAGGAAAAAUUUCCAAAGUCUUAACCAGCGAGCGCAGAAAAUUUGCGACCACAAUAACAGGUGGAUAUGUUGAUGGAAGAAGCGGUAGGCCUUAUCAUAAAAAGCAAAUUUCCAGAAGGACCGUUUGAGGUGGGAGAUGCCAAAGUCAAUAUAUUAUUAGAACGAAAGUUGCAGGGAGGAAAGGCAUUUGACACAUACUAAGAAGAUCUUGCGGUAACUAAUAGAGGAUCGCAUAUCAUGAUCAGGCAUUUACGGUAUGGGGGGUGUCGGGAAAACAACCAUUAUGGUGCACAUACAUAAUAGGCUCCUAGAAAAAGAAAAUCAUAUUAAUGCAUUGUGGAUUGCUGUGUCACAAGAUCUCAACAUACAUAAGUUGUAAGGUGACAUUCAGCUAAUAUAUUCAAAAAAAAUUUCAUGCAUGGGUGUUAAUUUGGAUAAUGCUAACUAUUUAUAAAACAUGAAAAUAUAUAUNNNNNNNNNNNNNNNNNNNNNNNNNNNNNNNNNNNNNNNNNNNNNNNNNNNNNNNNNNNNNNNNNNNNNNNNNNNNNNNNNNNNNNNNNNNNNNNNNNNNCUCGUGUUUUUGGGUCAUUAAAAAAAAUAAAAAUCUUUCUUUAGCAACUUCUCAAAUUGGUAAAUUGUUGAACGGAUGAUAUUAAGGAGCAAAUCAUUAAAAUGUGGGGGCCAUAAUACAUAUGCCUAAUGUGGCGCUACGCGUCAACUUGCUCUAUCUAUUUGGAGAAUAAAUUCGGCUUUCGACGAUAAAUUUUUUCCUCGAGUUGCGCAUGCAUGUCCAGGAACAAAUGGGAGAAGAGAGAUACAUCGUCCAACUAAUGCUAGAAAUAAGAAAGGAUUGAUGUGGUAAAUGACUUUACAAAAUAAUAUGGUAAAUUCUAAGUAUUUAUUUGAGUCAAUAUAUAUUUGAAAACUCAAUAGUAUCUCGUCACUUCAUGUUAUAUAUCAUUUAAUAUGUCAAAUCUCGAACAUUGUACUAAUAAAAUCACUCUAAAACUCAAUUAGACCAGCUCCAAGUGAGCACCUCAAAGGUAAGAACUUGAGUUCACUUAUGAUUAUCAAGGCCCAUUGGUAAUAAAUAAAUAAAUAAAUAAAGGAAAAGGGUGAGAAAUAUCAUGUGGUGUCGCCGGCGCUGACGUGGAUAAAAUUUAUAAUUUUUUAAUAAUUUUUCAAUUGUUUUUCUUUUAUCAUUCUCCGUACCCCUUGGCUAAUGAGGUUGUCGGCUGACCAUCGUUGGCCAUAGGCCGGUCAGGGUGACGGCCCUUACGCCUUUGUCGACCACAGGUGAGCACGUCGGCCCCCCUAGAUCUAGGCGAGGGCCUAAACCCUCACUUGUUGGCCGAUGAGAGCCUUCGUGCCCUCAGCAGCCACAGGCGAGGACGUGAAGGCCUUUGUUCGUGGCGGGCAAGGACUGCAACACCAUAAGCGAGGCCGUUGUGGCCAUCACUUGGAUUUGGGCAAAGGCAUUGUGCCCUCGCUUGGAUUUGGGCGAGGGCCACCGUGCCCUCACCCACCACGAGCGAGUGCUACCACGGCCUCGUUUGCGGCUAACGAGGGCGUAGAAGCCUUGGCUAGCCAAUGGGCAAUGAUUUCAACCCUUGCCUAGGUUUGGGUGAAGGCCCACGUCCUUGUCGAGCGCAGUGGCCCUCACUAGUGGCUGUUAAUGGUGCGGGGACCCUUGCCUCGACCAGCCUGUGGCCGACGAUGGUUGGCUGGCGACCUUGUCGGCCAAGGGGCUAAGGAGAAAGAAUUUUUAUUUUUAUUUUUAGAAAAAGAGAAAAAAAAAAUGGAAAAAAAAAUAUUUAAAAAUUAUAAAAUUGGUGUACGUCAGCAUCGGCAAUUUCUAGCUUAAACUUGUUGGAUAUAUUGAAUUGGUAUCAAUAUGAAAAUGAUUAGAAUUAAAUUGAUCAAAUGAAAAGUUUAUGACUGAAUUGGUAUUAAUGCAAAAGGUUUAUCACUUUUUUUUGUUACUUUUCCCUCAAAAUAGGUCACUUGAAAUCUCAUUUGGUUUCGUCUCUAAAAGAAAUGAAAGUUAUGUGAGGUCGAAUGGCAUCCAUAUAAAUAGACACAAAUUGUUCAUUAUUUUGGUAAGAGGUUAUUGUUUAGAAAUGAAAAAGAAAAGGAUAAAAAGGUGAAAGCAUGAGGUGGCAACUUAAUAAGCCACAAGUCAACUCUCCAUGCACUAUAUUAAAAUGAGAUUUUAGUAGGUUAAUUGUUGAUAUAAAAAAUAAUUUGCAUAUUCACAAUUAGGCGCUGACAUGUGGAAGAAUUCAAUUACAAAAAUAAUUUCACAUACACACGUCACUUGUUCAUAGUAAGUGUGUAAUGGGGCUUUAAACACUACGUAUCUAAUAAUAAACAAUUAGCUUACUAGGUUAUUUGGUUAACUAUUUUUCUUUAUUUAGUUUAACACAAUAUUUCACUAUUAAUUAAUUAGACCAAAUAGAUCGCAUAUUCAGAUAUUCAAAAUUUUCAUGCACGGGGUUAAUUUGGAUAAUGUUAACUAUUUAUUAGAAUAUUGGAAAUAUAUUAUUUCGUAGAAGGUAAGCAGGAAAAAAAGAAAGAAAGCUAAAGAUACAUGUGGCGGAGUAAAAACAAUCGGAUCUUUAAGAAGGGAAUAAAUCAUUUUUAUUAUUUUAGUAAUAGGUUAAUAUGUAGAAUGGAAUAGAAAGGAUAUAAAAAAGCGAAAGCAUGCGAGGACAACAAUGUAGGGGGCAACAUGCCAAUUCUCGAUAAGGCCUCCAUCUCAUGGAUUCUCCUUCAUGUGGCACUGGAUUUUCUUAUUCAAGUGGUUAAAGAUGCGACAAAAGCUUUAGUUGAAAUAGUUUUUGGGAUUACGACCCAAAAGAAAAAAUUAGUUUUUGGGACAACGAGGGAUCUACCUAACACGGCAUCAGAAAUUCAGCAAAUUAAUAAUCUAAGCAGCAGCCGUGGAAAUUCGCUCAGUUUUUUUUUUUUUUUUUUUUUUGAACGGAACGAACAUAGUAUUAAGAUGAAAAGGCCUUACAUCCCGCGGCUAGAGCAUCCGCGCAUAAAUUCGCUCAGUUUACGUUGCAUAUUUGGCGAUUCUCUUUUGCAGGAGACAAUAGCUCGAGAUGCUAACGUGGGCAAGGGUUCAUGAUUGGAGUAGUCUGCAAUAAAAUAAAGCAUAUAUGGACCCUUCAACAGUAUUGUUGAUCAGGAUUCAAGACUUUGAACAAUGCCAACUCUCUCUCUCUCUCUCUCUCUCUCUCUCUCUCUCUCUCAUUAAAAAAUAAAGAAAUGACGAAGAAAAGACGGAGACAUUUCCUGCGCGCGUUCUUAGCGACUGUUGCGUUGUCUCUUAUGGCAAAAUUCCUUGUGACUCUUCACCAAAAGCUGUUCAUUCCCACGUGCAGCAGCAGGCCUGUGCCUUUUGUUUCUCUGGGAGUUUGCUGGAGUCCUGGACGCUGACCAGUGCUUCAGAAUCUCAAAAACAGCUUCUUAUUUCUACUUCUUGAUUUGCAUCUUUGCCACUUACAUGCAUCCGAAUCUUCUUUUUCGGCCCUAACUGGGAUGUUGCUUCGUCUUCAUCUUUGCCAUUUUCCAUUUGUAAAAAUUAAGGAUAAACUCUCCAACUGUCCUUAUUUAACCGGAUCAAAUAUAUGCGCAUCGGACAAGUAAAUUUGAUGGAUUUUAUGUGAAACGAAUUCUGUCGGGUUGAAUGAUCCGGAUGUAAUUGGGUGGACGUAGGUGUGAGAUGCAAUAACCUUCUGUGAAUUUUCUGAUGGCAAACAUAUACACGUGCUUUGAUUUUCUUUUUAAAGUCGAGAUUAUGCUUCAUCGUAUUUUACAAAUCAUUUUUCUAUGCAUGAAAGUUGCUCCGUGUUUGGGUCAUCUACAUAAAUUAAAGAUCUAGGCUUGAUCAGUUUAUGAGGAUUUAUAGAAUGUUCCAUGAUCUUCCAAGUAAUCGGGUUUUGUGCUUAUGUCUUUGGGUAAAAAAACGGUCUUUCUUCCGCAACUUCUCAAAUUGGUAAAUUGGUAAAGGGAUGAAAUUAAGGAGAAUAGCCUUAAAGUAUGGGAGAAAAAAAAAGAAUUGUACUGUCCAUGUUAUUGACAUCAUAAUCUUUAAAAAUCAAAACUAUUUAGGGUACGUAACUGAAAUGAUAUCUGUACCUUGCGAAGGGUAACUUACAUGCUCUUUGGUGGUUAUAUUGUUUGUUUCCAUGUGUUUGUAUUUUUCUCCAUGACAUUAUUCAUUUGUUCUCUUCCUUAACAAACAGAACAUCACAGUAGUGGAUACAUUAGAAUGACACAAAAUUUUGGAUAGAAGAUAAAAGGGGAAAAUGAGUACUUUUUUUUUUAUCGGAAUAUUUUUAAAACAAUGCAAUAAAUUCUAACUGAUUCUUUUAGUUAAUUGAUGUAUUUCAAUGUUCAAUGAGAUUCUGUCACAUCAUUUUACAAAUCAUUUUAGUGUAUUAAAUCUCUAAUAUUAUACUAAAUAAAGCACUCUAAAUUCAACUACACCAACUAUAAGGGAGCACUCAUCGAAUUAACAAGAACUCGAGUUCACUAAUGACUAUUAAGGCGCAUUGGUGAAAAGGAAAAGAAAAAGGCAAAGGAAGGCAAAGGGGGAAAAAAAGAGGGUUGGGGGCAGGGGUCUCAUCGUCUCAUUAUAUUUCUCUGAAAGAAACAGUACGGAGAGAGAUCGAGAAAUACAGAGAGAGGGGAAGAGCGACGACAGUGGAUUGCAGCCUGUCCAAAGGGAAUCACCAUUUUCGAACCCUAGAAAACAGAUUUUAGCUCUAUUUCUCACAAAUUUUGUAGUUUUGUUUUAAAGUUAACAUCUGAAUCUCUUGUGGAUUUUGCUUCGCCAGCAACGAUUCGGUCAAAAUCAAACGAUAUUUUGUUUUAAAAUUAAUUCUGACAUUGAUUUUUUUUUCUUUAGAGUAGAUUGGGUCUUUCUCAUGUAAAAAAUAGCAAGUUAUACUUGGGUCUGUCCGUAGCUUUUCUUAAUAUUAAUCCAAUUUAAUGGAAAUUAGUAGAUGAUAAAUUUGUCACAAAUUCACAAGUUUUGGGUUUUUGGUGUAAAAAUUGGUUUGAGAUAAAUUUGUUAUAUGCGUAUUAAUUUGGAAUAUUUCCUAAUAUUAACAUUAUUAGUGGUUCUUUUAGUUUAUAGAUAGAAAAUUCGGUCGCCACUUUUCAAGUCAUUUUAAUGUAUCAAAUCUCACUCUAAAUACUAUUGAGGCACGUUAUUAAGGGGUCUAAUCGUCUCAUUUGAUAGGGAAUUUGCGGAAGAGAACAGUGCUGGUCAUGUGAGCUUUACAAAUGGUGAUGUGGCUUCUUAUAAAACGUUUUAUACAAAAUCAGGAUGUUCUGUAAGAAGUGACGUGGCUUCUCAUAUUGGGCAAGACAGGAGGCCUUUAUAAGGGGUGAAUGGAAGCCUUUAUAAGGGGUGAAUGGAAGCGAAAGUGCUUCCUUAAAGGGUAUUUUCGGAAGGAAGAGUGCUCGUGCAGCUGGAGGGAGAGACAUGUGAACUUGGAGGCCAAAGUGCUUCCAAAAAGGGCAUUUUCGGAAGAAAAAGUGCUGGAAAUAGUGAUGUUGGCUUCUUAUUAAACGUUUUAUACGAAGUCAGAACUUUUCUGUACCGACAAAAAAAGAAGAAGAAGAAAAGCUCUGUAAGAAAUGACGUGGCCUGACUCCGUCAGGAACGUUUAAAUGUUUUAUACGAAGUCAGGAAAGUUCUGUAAGAAGUGACGUGGCUUCUUAUAUAUAAACCCCAACAGCUUCGUAAACCCGAGAAAAUAUUGGGUGGUCCGGGACCACCACGUCAGCGUGGUCCCCGGCCACUCACGAGGUGCCAUGUGGAGGGGUGGGCCCCACUUGGUGUCCUCUUCGCUUUUUCUCUUGCUCCUCGACGCAGUGCUCCUCUCUCUCCUCUCUCUCUCCCAAAUAACUCUCGGCUGAUGGCUCGGCUCGGCUCGGUUGGCAGAAGAAAGCACGGGUCAAUGGAUAAUAAAUGCGCAGCCCUCCCGCUUAAAAUUUCUCUCUCCUCACUUGAAUAUUUUCUGGGCUCUCUCUCUCCUCGCGGACGAGCUGCACUUCCUCUGUUUCCUUCUCAGCGUAUCCCACCCCCUCCGCCUCCGCCUCCCCAAAAAGCCUCGCCGGUCCGUCGCCUCCUCCAAGAGCCCCGCCAAUCGCAGCUGGUUCCCGAUCCCCUUUGCUUCCGACUGUUUCCAACGCCGAGAUUGAGCGUAAGGUUUGUGCUCGCCUGGGUCUCUAGGCAACUUCUGGGCCUCCCUCCCUCCGGCGAACUCGUCAUCAACUCCGACUCCGAGCCGCCGUCGCCGCCGCCGAUGGCGUCCUCCGUCUCUGGCAUCUACUCGUCCUUCCCCUCCCUCAGGCCGAAGACACCGCCAGCCUCCGCCGCGAAGUCGUCGGCCUUCGGCAGGAGGGAGGCGGCCUCGGUCUCGUUCCCGAGCGGCGCCAGGCUCCCCGCCGUCGACCGGGUGCUGUCCCUGUCCGACGAACUCCCUCUCUCUCUCCACCCUCCCCCUUUCCGAUUGGCGAACCACCGCGAGCAGCCGACGAACCAGGAAGCGAACCUAAUAUUUUCUCCCUUCUCCGACGCUCGAUGCCCUCUCUGCCCUCUACCCCCGACGCUCGACGGCCGAUUUAGCUCGCCUCUCCCACGACCUCCACGCUUUUGGCGGUUCUUCCCCCGCGGUUCGGUGAGGUCUCGGGUAUGCCCUCGUGCCGCGUCUCUUCUUCCUUGCUCAGCAACACUGGACUGCCUCUCUCUCUCUGAGUGUGUCUCUCUGUGCAUUCUUUCAUCCAUGAGGCAAGCAUUUCGACUAGGGUUCAGGGGUUUCGCCACCCCCUUCUUUGAGGUUCGUCCGGGUACCUCUCAUUUUUGCGUGAACCCAGCGUGAAUUUUAUAGUCUUUCUUUCCAUAUGACUACAAGCGACUGCUAAGCGACAAUGCGACGACAGUUUCGAAUCCUGGGUUUCGCUCUGUGAUGCUAAGCGUUGCUUUGGUUCCUUAAAAAGUUGCUGACUUUUUCGCAUGUUGUAGCUUCUUGGUUGCUCCGAGAUUUUGGGUUGGUCGUUCUAUCGUCUUGCUCGGAGCCAGCGAAAUGUUGUCCAAAAGGGGCAUGUCGAAUUCGUCGACACCUGAGUCGGCGGCGAUUUCUGAGGACAGGGAAGAAAUCGAAAGGAUUGGUGGCUUCAGUUCCUAGUUCUACCAAAAGUCAUGUCAAGGUAUUGUCUUUUAAUCGAACCUAUCGUUCCACCUGUGUUUUGGGGACUUGACCAUUCAGCAUUCAUUUUUUCUGCAGAAAAAUUCUGGUGCAAGCAUUGGUGAAGUCGUGUUGCCUAAUAAUGACCCGGCCAAAAUUGAGGCAAUGACAUUUCACGAAUUGAGAGCUACAUUGAGGUGGGGAUGAAUUGUUUUAGUUGCAAGCGUGUGAUAGUCGUUAUAGCGUUUCCUGCGCAACCUUUACAGUAAGCAAAACUCAAGUUUUUCUAUUUGAUGCUUGCAAAGGAGAUUAUUGAGCAGGAAGUGAAUAUUAUUGAUGGAAAACCAUGAGGUCUUGAGAAUUUGCCUUCAACAAAGAGCAAGGUCUUGAGAAUCUGCUUCGUUCGGGUCAAGAUGGCGAGCUCCACAGCCGCACAAGUCCACGGUCUUGUGCUGUAUGGUCCGGGCUUGUAGCUCUGUCGACGGCAAAAGCAAGGUUUACAGAGAACUCGGUCCGUCUCCCUCGCCUAAUUCCAUUAUGUUGUCUUUCUCGAAUGCUUUCAUGUGGGUAGUUCUUCUUUUGGUUAGAUUAAGAUGGAGUGCUCGGUUCAUUUGCAAAUGCGCAAGAUGAUAGAUGGUUCUUGCUUUUUUGAGAAGUUCUUUGACAUGUUGUUUUAGACUGCUUGCGAAGAAAUCCAGACCGAUUUGUGGUAAAAUGAAAAAGAAAGAGUGAACUUUUCCAGAUUUUAUUGGUCAUACAAUCAUGUCUUUCGUGUAAAAUUUGAAGUCAGUAAGUAUCUUUUGGGCCUGAAUCUUUCUCAUGAGGCCUCUUGCUUCACAUUAGGUGAACUCCCAUGUGUGAGUGGUUCUUGCUUUUUAAGUUAUCACCCUAGUGGAAAGAUUCUUCAUUUCUUGUUCCUCGGUGUUCCAAAUAUGCUUUGUUUCAGAGUUUGCUCUUCGGAAUUUCAAACCAGCGGUUCAUUUGAUAUCUAUGGUUGCCGUUGCAAGGAAGUUAUGUCAAACAUGUUGGAAAUAGAUGAGUUUUGCAAAAUGUGACUCCUGUAAGAGGACUUGAAGUCAAGUUUAAUUUUCUUGUACAAUCUGACAUGAAUUCUGAGAAAUGUAAGCAAAAGUGUUUCUGGGAUGUUGGUGGGGUAAAAAUCUUUGCAGUUCGGCUUUUAUGUAAAAUUUGCAUUUCUUUUUCUCCAGGGUUGUUUUCACUAAAAAGGAAGAUUGAAGAUGCAGUUCAACGCACUGAGAAGAUGGCUCCUACUGCACUGCAAAUUGAAGAAGCUAAAUGGAUUAAGCUUGAUGGACUGAUUCGAGAUUACAACCUUUGGGAUGAUCCUGAUAAAUCCUAUGAUGUUCUUGUGAAGUUGGCAGACAUGGCCAGAGCAGUCGAUGCCCUGAGGGAUUUAACUUACAAGGUGGUGUGGAAUGCCAUAUUCAUCUCACAGAAUAAGCUUUUCCGCCCAGUAGGUGUGGAUUAAGUUGGGCAAUUGUUGGGUCAAUGGUUUGCCCAUUAUAAGCUUGUCUUGACUCUUCUUCCGAGAUUAACUUGAUUCUUAAUGUGUUAAUGACUGUCAUAUCUAGUUUAACUGUAUCAAUUAAAGGAAGUGCAAUUGCUGGCUUUAGUUGACUUUUAUCUGCUGAAAUUUGCAGGCGGAAGAAGCAAAGCUGAUAACUCAACUGGUGGAGAUGGAUGCUAUUAAUUAUGCUCUUUUUGAGCAGGCAUACGCUUCGUCUUUGGAUAUGAGUAAGUUUUUGGACUGUUAUGAGAUGUUAAAGCUUCUUAAGGGACCAUAUGAUGUGAAUGGAGCGUCGAUGGUCAUCAAAGCUGAAUCCAAUGGCAAUUACCAUGAGGUUUGAUAAUCUAACUUCAUUUCUAGAAUAAUUAUGCAUGUGCAAAGAGAUGAUGUUUAUAUCACACUCUUCCGUUGUAAUAUACAUUGAUGUAGAAUAGAUGCAGAGUCUCUGGUUCCCGCUUCUUUAUAAUACUUACGCCAAAAUAUAGGAGUUUCAAAGAACUUGAGAAUGAAAAAACUGCAUAUAUAUGUACAUAUAAGGGUGGGACAUUAUUAGUGGAAUCUUGUUAGUAUAUAUGUAUGCUUGUGCGCAUCACCAUUUCAGUUACUUCUUAUUUACGAAUCUCUUUGCUUGAUGACUUAGAUGUCUUGAAAAUCAAUUGUGGGAUUUCUCCAGGGUUUAGUGGAUAUUUAAUUUAUUGUCUAGUAUCCUUCUUCCUGUGGGAGGUAUUUUGCAUGUCCCUCCCCUGAAUUCCAACUCAGAAGUAAACAUUAAGUGAUAAUGUGGUGGCUAUCAAAAGAAUAAUGAGAAAAAAGAAAAGUGAGAAUUUGAUCAGUAUGGAUAGUGGUUCGAUAUUAUUCUCCACUAUGAGGAUACUUAUGUUAUGAGGAUACUUCAUUUUGACAUCAGUAUGAACUAGGACAGGGAAUGAUAAGUUGCCAAUCUAUUUGCAUAUGAAAGAUGAAAUCUUGGAAAAUAGCGGACUGUAAUAUUCAUCUAUAAUGGGGAUAUAUUCCUUUUCCAUUAGCUAAUUCAAUGAAGUUCACUCAGUUUUGUUGACCCAAAAAAAAAAAAAGAAUCUUUUGGGCUUAAGCCUCUGCUGGUUCCAAUCUCUCUGUCUCUCAUGCAUUUGCUAAUCCAGUUAUGGGCUGAAAAACUACUGAGAAUGUACCAAAAAUGGGCUGAGAAGCAAGGUUAUUGAGGGAGGAUUGUAGAGAAGCGUCAGGCAACAAAUGGUGGAAUCACUUCUGCAACGGUUGAAUUUGAAUUUGAUUAUGCAUAUGGUUUUCUUCAAGGGGAGAGGGGUGUUCAUCGAAUGAUAAGUGGUUCAGAAACUGGAUCAACAAUUGAUGAGGUAGGUUUACAAUUAUCAUUUUUGUUUUGAUGAAACAUUGACUUUUGUAUAUUGCUAUUGGUUUUUGACUUCUUUUUAACAAUGAGCUCUGAAUGAUUUGUUUCUUCUCUUUCCAGAGAUUCAGAAGGCAAAAGUGGCAUCUUGUUAGUGCAUCAUUAAUAUCAAGAAACAAUUUAAAGUGUAUUAAAGACACGACAACAUGUAAAUGACCGUGUGCAAGGAAAAACACAUUGGAAUUGAAAGAUUGAUUGUUUCUGUGGCUCUUUCUUGAAAUCAAAGCAGCUAAAUAUGAACUUGUACUCAUGGCACCUUAUUGUAUAUAUUUGGGUAAAUUCUUUCUUGAUCUUAUCUUAAUUACACACUUAGAUAUUUGUGUGGCACCUAGAUGUCUACACGUAUCAUAGAGUCUAACAUUGGCUAAAAAAUAUAAGAUAUGCAACUUCAAAUGGUGUGGAUUAAUUUUGCACAUGAGCUUAAGGUUGAUUUAGUUCACUCAAAAACAUAGCCAAGGGAAUUGUUGCAUUUCAUGGGAUCCAACCAUUCAAGUUGUUUCUUUUUAUAGUUUAUCUGCUUCUUUUACAAGUGAAUUGAAGGUCGAGAAAAGCCUUUUCUGUGUAAUGUGUUUCUGUUCUGCUACAUCAUUGGCCCCUAAAUUCCUGUCAGUUCCUCAUUUUAGUACUCAAAAUUAUAUCGACAGCCUAGCAGCUGUCGAUAUAAUUCCUCUGUUCCGUGAUUCGGCCCCUGACCUAAAAAUUAGUGAGGAGGAUUUGCUAAUCUCGUGCCCAUCGUCAUCGCCUGAAGUAAAAGUCAUUGAAGGCCGGUCUGGAGUUGUUAUUCAGCAUGUUCCUACUGGUUUUGUUGUCCAAUCUUUGGGUAAUGAGUUGUCUAUUCCCUUAUUUGUUAGGGUUGACCUUCCAACUCAAAUUUGUUUACCAAUGAUUUCCGCAAUCUGGUUUUGACUUUACAAAGAAGCAAAUGCCUAUUCCUCAACACACGUUCAUGAUUGCCUGUCUAGUACGACAUUUUGUGAUUGAGAAAUAAGAUCUCAAAAUUUUUAUCCCAGGUGAAAGGAGCAUUUUUGCAAAUAAGAUUAAGGCCCUCAACCGGUUGAAGGCUAAACUUCUUAUCGCAGCCAGAGAUGUAGGAGUUCCAGGCAUAAAUGGCUUCAAGAAGGAAAAUGUGUUCGAUGUAUGGGGAGACAAGGUCCGAAGAUAUGUUCUUUCCCUCGCAAGCAUGUGAAAGAUGUAAGAAGUGGUGUUGAAAUGCCUGACCUGUAUUCUGUUUUGGACGGUAAUAUAGAACCUCUGAUUGGAGCUCAUAUCCAGAUGAGACUCUCAAAUGACAUGCCUCCACAGUAAAGCAGCUUUUCCCAAUUCGCUCUAUUAAUUUAUUUCUCUGCGUUGGUUCUUCAUCCCAAAGUUUUAUCCCUUGAAGUUUAUUUUUAUGUUAAAAACAAGACAAUUGUUCCUUUGUCAUACAUGUAUCUACGCCUGAAAUUUAUUUUGUUGACAAAACCAUAAGUUGGGAAAAAAGAAAGUGACCCUUCGGUAGGCAUUUUGACUGGGGGCACUGAUAGAUUUUAGCUAAAAAAUUGAAGGUAGUCCGAUCAAAUUCCCAUCACACGCGUGUAAACUACUCAAGAUCAAGACUAUUGUCAUGAACUAGGCAUAUGAAGUUACCAGUAUGUCCGGGUAGUCGAGUUUCUUUGUUGGUUCAUGAUCUUUAGUAAUUCUAACUGUCGGCAAUAAGUAAUUCUAAUUCCACCAAACAUUGCUCAAAGUUCGAUGAGUAUGUAUAAGAUGUGUGUUCACAGAAUUCGGAAUGAUGUAAUUAAGUUUACAUGUUGACAUCCCAAUGUUUGAUUUGGUGCGAGGAGCAGGCGUGCCAAUUAAACGCACGAGGUAGAUUCAUUUCUUGAUGCUACUGUUCCCUUUGAGCUUCAGCCUCUGUCUUCUCACUUGGUUUAUGAAGUCAGUGGGCAUGAUAAGUUCAUGUUAUGAGCAUGAAUAACUAAGAAAGAAGCAGUAAUAAGCAGUUCAGGAUUUAUGAAGAAGCAAUUGCAGUUCAUUGAUAUAGAUAAAAGUUUAAAGAUGGCAAAAACAUGUCGAUAGAUGAUGAUAAUAAUUAGCAGUUCAGGCUUUAUCCUGGCCUUUGUGAAGUUUGCUGGGACUUCCUGGUAUAACCAACAUAACAAUUCCAAGCAAAUAUCCCUUAUCAUGCAAAGACAAAUUCCAGGAGCCUUCGUAGUUGUCAAGGAAUCAAGCAAACAGUAAUACACUUGAGCAGCUGGAGGAUUCCAUAAAAUAAUGAAACUUGCUAAUUACAUUUGUCUAAAACAUUGCCGACAUUUUCACACCUAAUUAUGGGAACAUCAUCAUCUUCAGGUCUACCACGUUCAUGUACAAAAUUCAAGAGCCAAAAAUGACAUUGCUGAUACGUGCUCCUUUGAGGUUCUCUAACAACAAGACGCAAGCAAGGAUCCAUGAAGACUGAGCAGCAGACGGUUGUAGACAACCGUCUUUCCAGACUAACUUUUAAAUUAAAAAAAAAACAUCCACCAGAUAAUCAGAUUGAAUUGCGAACCAGAACGGUUGUACCUACAACUUGCACUCAGCAUUUCAGCAUUUCAGCAUUUUUCCCCUCGCCGGCUUUGGCAUCAGAAUGUAUGUUCAAAAACUUGCACAGAUUUUUUCGAAAGUGAUUUCAAUGUUCCAUCAUAACUCUUCCUCCAAAAGAUGCCUUGUAAAAUAAUCUAGAAAAACCCAGAUCACUCCACAGGGCCCAGACAAAGUAAAUACAGACAGCCCCUUCAUCUCUUCCUUCUUUUUUGCCCCCUUUUGCUAAGCAAAUUUCAUCAAAAAAACUUUCCCUUGCUAGUGGCUUCAACAUGAAUGACAAUGACAAUAAAAGCUCAAUACUUUUCAGCAAACAGCAUCUAGGAUGAUGCUGCCGGACUACCUUCGCAGUCCAUUCACCAAGAUCCCAAAAGAGAUGACAGAACUAAAGCUGGAGAAUCAGGCCAAUAGGACUAUGAUCACUAUCGGUGAUAUCAGGAAGGAUGUACGAGUCAUGAACUUUAUUUGCUAUAGAUUCUGAAAUGAGAAAAUAAUCGAGCUGCCACCCUGUAGAUUGCAAGAGGAUAGUUAACAGGUGAUAAUACCUAUUUCCAUAUGCUUCAUCUGAUAAGACAACGAUAUGCAUAAUGACUUAACAAAAAACAAAAGCUUGUCAUUGCUCAUAUUAUCACCAUUACAGGAGAGAAGUGUAACAUUAGAUAUAUAAUGUUCCAUCAAGUAGAUCUAUGUAUACCUUUAUUUGUCUUCCUCCCACCAUGCUGAUAACCCCAAUAAGUAUAACCAACAGCAUGAGGAUACUGUCUUCUAAAGGUAUCAACAAAGCCCCUCGACAGGAAGUUGGUCUCAAAAGAUUCCCUUUCUUCAAUUGUAAAUCCAGCACUUCUUUUAUUUCCCUGGAGUCUCAUGACAAUCAAAUUAAUGACAGAAAUAAGAAACAUUAGACGUAUUAAGAACUUCUGUUUCGGGAUGCCAAACAGCCUAAAUUGUGAUUUUUAUCAACCCCCCAACACAAAACCCCAAACACCCCCCAACAAAAACCCAAAACAAAAUUCAGUUGUAUGGAGGAAAAGCCUGAUUACAGUCCUCUGUUUUGGGGUUUUUCCCCUCUUUUAAGUGGGGUGGGGGGCAUAUGGUGUGGCCAGGACAUUGUCCUGUGACAGUUAAAAAGCUCAUGCAAAUUAUUAAUGCACCUAGUCAAUCAAAGGCAGAAAAGGCACAUUGAUUGUUUCCCUUACCGCAGGAUCAUAAAUGUCUAUUUCCUGAUGGGCACAAUUCAGAUCGCCAGUCAAAAUCACAGGCUUCAACUUUUCAAGUUCCUGUAUUGCCAACAGCAAGCACAAAUUUGAGUAAGAGAUGAAACAAUAUUGAAACAGAAUAAAAAUAGUAGUCUAUCGGAAAACCUUCAUAGGUUGUAGAAUUGAUCCAUGAUAUGGUUAAUAAUGACUCCUGAACAAAAGUCUAAAUAGCUUUAUCAAAAAACAAAAGGGUUACAUAGUGCUGAACAUACUUUAUGUAGUUACCAAGAGAUGGAUCCCACUGUGAAAUCCUAUACAUCUGACAUAAAUAAGCAACAUAAUUAAUGAAUCAUACUUGAAAGUGUGUAACAGAGUAAACCAAUGAAAUAGAUUGAUACCAGUCUUCUCAGGCCAUCGCCAGAAUUAGGAAAGUAACCACUCAAGAGAUAGAAUGAAUCAAACUCUGCAGUGACAAGCCGUCCCUCAGAAUCAUGAUAUGAUAUGCCCAAGCCAUAUGUAACUUAAAGGGGCUUUAUCUGCACAAAAAAAAUACUAGUAAUAACCUCAAAAAUAAUAAUCCAAAAAAGCCAAAUGUAGGAGAAAACCAGAAGGCACGGUAUCCACCUUACACAAAUUAAUAUAGAGAGAAGGUAGUACUUUUGCGUUUCUGACAUACAAAGUGCAACUCAUGCCGAUUUUAUUAUUCAUCCAACAUCACUUGAGAUGCUAAUUAUAUCUCAUAAGCAACUUAACUGAUCAUUGGCUGUGAUCUUUAUUUAAGAUGAGAAGCAUUUCAUUCGAAUAUACACAAAGCAAAUGGACUAACCCUACUACAAGCAUAUUAUUAUAGCAUUUAACUAGAUUAAAACAUCAGAAUAUCUAUACAGACUCCGACAUUCUUGGUCAAAAUAUGACAAUUCAUUGGGGUCAAAUGCACUCGCAGUAACAAAUCAGAAUGCCUCUGAACUGCAACAGUAGGUAGGGAGCUAGUCCUUCAACCCAGUCAUUCCGUGAACUCUUCCCACAUGCUUUACAAUAACAAUUUACAAGCCUCAGAAACAACCAUAGAAAUACAAAAAAGGACUUACAGGUUUCAUUAUCAUUUUGAGAAAAAGUGUGAUGCAAAAAAUUUCAUUUUCAUAAAAAAAUUGCUCUUUGUUGAAGGCAAAUUCUCAAGACCUCAUGGUUUUCCAUCAAUAAUAUUCACUUCCUGCUCAAUAAUCUCCCUUGCAAGCAUCAAAUAGAAAAACUUGAGUUUUGCUUACUGUAAAGGUUGCACAGGAAACGCUAUAACGACUAUCACACGCUUGCAACUAAAACAAUUCAUCCCCACCUCAAUGUAGCUCUCAAUUCGUGAAAUGUCAUUGCCUCAAUUUUGGCCGGGUCAUUAUUAGGCAACACGACUUCACCAAUGCUUGCACCAGAAUUUUUCUGCAGAAAAAAUGAAUGCUGAAUGGUCAAGUCCCCAAAACACAGGUGAAACGAUAGGUUCGAUUAAAAGACAAUACCUUGACAUGACUUUUGGUAGAACUAGGAACUAAAGCCACCAAUCCUUUCGAUUUCUUCCCUGUCCUCAGAAAUCGCCGCCGACUCAGGUGUCGACGAAUUCGACACGCCCCUUUUGGACAACAUUUCGCUGGCUCCGAGCAAGACGAUAGAACGACCAACCCAAAAUCUCGGAGCAACCAAGAAGCUACAACAUGCGAAAAAGUCAGCAACUUUUUAAGGAACCAAAGCAACGCUUAGCAUCACAGAGCGAAACCCAGGAUUCGAAACUGUCGUCGCAUUGUCGCUUAGCAGUCGCUUGUAGUCAUAUGGAAAGAAAGACUAUAAAAUUCACGCUGGGUUCACGCAAAAAUGAGAGGUACCCGGACGAACCUCAAAGAAGGGGGUGGCGAAACCCCUGAACCCUAGUCGAAAUGCUUGCCUCAUGGAUGAAAGAAUGCACAGAGAGACACACUCAGAGAGAGAGAGGCAGUCCAGUGUUGCUGAGCAAGGAAGAAGAGACGCGGCACGAGGGCAUACCCGAGACCUCACCGAACCGCGGGGGAAGAACCGCCAAAAGCGUGGAGGUCGUGGGAGAGGCGAGCUAAAUCGGCCGUCGAGCGUCGGGGGUAGAGGGCAGAGAGGGCAUCGAGCGUCGGAGAAGGGAGAAAAUAUUAGGUUCGCUUCCUGGUUCGUCGGCUGCUCGCGGUGGUUCGCCAAUCGGAAAGGGGGAGGGUGGAGAGAGAGAGGGAGUUCGUCGGACAGGGACAGCACCCGGUCGACGGCGGGGAGCCUGGCGCCACUCGGGAACGAGACCGAGGCCGCCUCCUUCCUGCCGAAGGCCGACGACUUCGCGGCGGAGGCUGGCGGUGUCUUCGGCCUGAGGGAGGGGAAGGACGAGUAGAUGCCAGAGACGGAGGACGCCAUCGGCGGCGGCGACGACGGCUCGGAGUCGGAGUUGAUGACGAGUUCGCCGGAGGGAGGGAGGCCCAGAAGUUGCCUAGAGACCCAGGCGAGCACAAACCUUACGCUCAAUCUCGGCGUUGGAAACAGUCGGAAACGAAGGGGAUCGGGAACCAGCUGCGAUUGGCGGGGCUCUUGGAGGAGGCACGGACCGGCGAGGCUUUUUGGGGAGGCGGAGGCGGAGGAGGUGGGAUACGCUGAGAAGGAAACAGAGGAAGUGCAGCUCGUCCGCGAGGAGAGAGAGAGCCCAGAAAAUAUUCAAGUGAGGAGAGAGAAAUUUUAAGCGGGAGGGCUGCGCAUUUAUUAUCCAUUGACCCGUGCUUUCUUCUGCCAACCGAGCCGAGCCGAGCCAUCAGCCGAGAGUUAUUUGGGAGAGAGAGAGGAGAGAGAGGAGCGCUGCGUCGAGGAGCAAGAGAAAAAGCGAAGAGGACACCAAGUGGGGCCCACCCCUCCACAUGGCACCUCGUGAGUGGCCGGGGACCACGCUGACGUGGUGGUCCUGGACCACCCAAUAUUUUCUCCGUAAACCCAGCACGGAGAGGGACGAAAGUGGAUUGCAGCCCGUCGAAAGAAAGGGUCGAGCUACACCCGAAAUCUCCAUUUCCGAGCACCAGGUAAGGGAUUUUAGCUCUAUUUCUCACGAGUUAGGGAUUUUCGUUUUCUUAAAAGUUUAAUAUCCAGAGCUAUGUAGGGUUUUGCUUUACCGGCAACGCUUUGGCCGCCAAAAUCCAAUCAUAUUUUGAUUACCCACAUCUCCUCGAGUCUAUAGGGAUUUCACAGAGUUCUAGUUGGAGUCAGAUUCCAGAGAAACGAACUCUCCAAGUCCUCCUCUCUGCGCCGCAGGUGAACAGUGUGUGCCGCCUGACUUCUUGGCUGCCGUUUGGUUCAACUUUGGGGAAAUGCUUACAAUCUCAAAUAGCUUUGAAAAAUAAUUUUAGCAAAAACACCGUUUGGCAAAACUUGCAUUUCUAAUUAGCUUUUGCUUUUUUUUUUAAAAAGUCUAAAAAUAAAAUCCGGUGGCCGGCUAACUGCCGGACGGCCAAUUUGGCCGCCGGACCGCCAAAUCGGGCAGCCUGAGGUCGCGGAGGCCAGAUCUAGCCACAGGACCGCCAGAUCUAGCCUCUCGACGGCCAGAUCUGGCGGUUGAGGUCGCUUGGGUCCGCGCGACCUCAGGUGGCGUCGCCUGGUUCGCGCGCGCCAGGCGACGCCACCUGGGUCGCGGGUUGCACCACCCCGGGCGGUGGUCACCGAGGACGCGCGACCCCCACGCGGUGGUGGUGGUUGCCGGAGAAGCCGAACUCUCAAGCGGCGGGGAAGACGAAGACGAACGGAGAAGAAGAUGAGACGAACGGAGAAGAUGAACAGUAAUGACGAUGAACAGUAAACUUGCAUCUCUGAAAUGCCCAAUGCAAAAAGCUAGUCCUACCCAACAUUCAGCUUUCAACUUUUCAAAUGCCCACAUUUCGAAAAUGAGCAUUCGAAAACCAUUGCCAAACACACAAAAUUUUCCCCAAGGGGCUUUGGGGGCUCAAAGCCCCUUGGGAAAGUCCAACCAAACGCCCCCUAAAGUCUUUUUUUGAGGCGGCGACUUGUCAAAUCUCAUAAUUUUAGAAUUAAUUAUUUUCUUGAGAAGGCAGUCCGCAAUUCCCAAGGUGGCUUUGAGUUAGAUCGGGUGUUUCUCGUCUCAAAAAUAGCAAAUUAUUUUUGGGUCUGUUGGAUAUUAAUGUGCAGUUUGGCUUUCCCGCUUUAGUACUUGCGGAUGCUAGUGUUUGCUCGAGAAUAAUGCUGUGCGCGCUAGGAAAAUAUACACAAGAUCGGUAGGUUAUAUAGUUGGGUGUGCUCUCUUUGCCUGCAGGUUGAUAAUCAAGACAACAAGAUGCCGCGACCUGAAGAUAUAGCCUGGAAAUUCGUGGUUAGACUGGAUAACAAGAGAUGGCGUUGUCCUUACUGUCAUAAAGUGUCCUCUGGAUCAGUCACAAGAGUGAAAAGUCACUUUCUUAAACAACCAAAAGAAGGGAUUGCCUCUUGCACAAAAGUGCCAGAGCACAUACGCACGCUAAUGGAAUUGUUACUCAGUCAUGAGGUGACUUUAGUACUUGUGGUAGCUACAUUAUAUGCUUAGUAAUAUUGCUAUGCGUGCUAAGAAGAUAUAUAAAAAAAUGGGGAUAAUUUAUGAAGGGGCGCGCUCUGUUUGCUUGCAGCUUCAUAACAAGGAUGAUAUAGCCUGGAAAUUCGUCAAUAGAGUGGAGGACAGCAAAUGGCGUUGUUAUUACUGCAGUGGAGAAUUCUUUAGAGACCUUACAUGGGUGAAAGGUCACUUGCUUGGAGUCCCAAAUGAAGGGAUUUCCAUUUGCACACUAGUGCCGGACCAUGUAAGAAAGCUAAUGCGGUCGUUACUUGAUGAGGUGGCUGAAGAAGAGAGCAGAGAAGCCAACAGUCCAUUGUCCAUGGGGACUUUGUUCUCGCCAGGCCUCGAAUAUACGUUGGAACAGUUGCACUUCAACCAACAGGAUGUCAUUGGGUCAAACUCUGACCAACAAUCACAAGAAGAGCGUCAGUUUCAGCAGAGUCCAACUAUGCCGUUAUUGGUGCAAAGUAGCCAUGGUAUGUCCGUGUGAAGUUUCUUUACAUUCAUCUUGGCACGGAGAAUAAAAAAUCAUUAUAUUUUUCGUUUUAUUAACUCUCUCUAGAAUAACUCAAAUUUAUCUAUUUUCAUAUUUCAUCGAUUCCAAAUUAUAGUAAUAUCAUUGCAUAUUAUAUAUGUCCGUCAAUUAGCCACGGAACCAGAGUCACGUGACACAGAAGUGCUGGACCACAUAAGAAAGCGUAAUGACCUCGAUGAGAUGGCCGAAGAAGAGAGCAGAGUGGUGGCUGAAGAACAGAGCAGAGAAGCCCAUGGUCAAUCCUCCAUCGAAUCAAAUUCCCGUUACAUGCCGACUCAAGCUGAGGUGGCUGAAGAAGAGAUCAGAGAUGCCAACCGUCAAUUUUCCACGGAACCACAGUCGCGUGACAUGCUGUCUCCAGCUGUUCCUCGGUCAUCACAAAGCUUGGAAGAUAUAGAAAACUUAUUCACAACAGAGUGGGCGACCGACUUGGAAAACUUAGACUAUGACCUAGAGCAUCAUUUUCGUGAGACUUUGGCAAUGCCGCCACCGGCGCAAAAUAUCCAUGGUAUGUUCAUGUGAAGUUUCUAUACAUGCAUCUAGGCAUGGAGAAAAAACAUCUAAUAUAUUUUUCAAUGCAAACACGUCGGGAUUUUUAACCAAAGUGGAGAGUAUUAAAUAUCUCCGAUAAAAACGAUCUUCCUAUGGGACUUUCCAAAUGUGAAGAAAGUCAAAUCACCUAUUCCUUAAUAACAGUGCAUUGAAUGUGUUGCACGUGUCCAUUGGACCCUUUGGAUCCACUAGACUAACUACAGUAGGUAUUCUUUCGUGUUCUAAUCAACUAUAUUCUUUCGUGUUCUAAUCAAGUAUAUCCUAAUUUUGAUGAACUUCACACGGAUGAAAACAUACCAUUUUCAACGAUGGCUUUAGCAGAAGUAGAAUCGGAUCUUCCUGAUCCGCCAUGUCAGCCACAAUAUUCCAAUCGAUCUCCUUAUCCCGAGGAAAUGCAAAUGAAUGACCAGCAGACUCCAGCAGGGGCAUUACCAUUCCAGGAUGUUCCAUUCCCUGUUGUAGGUAAUUCAAAUUGCUUGCAGGAUUGCAAUCGGCACUCUCAAUUGCAAACUCCAAUGGACGUAGAUCACUCAGUUGUAUCACAGCGUAGAAUCGACUCUCACAUUAAUGAGGCAACAAUCGUUGAUUUGCAAGUUCCAGAGGUGACAACGAUUACAAUAAGCCCAUCAUCAUCACAAGGUGUGUCUUGAUUUAUCUAUGUAGAUACUGUCAUUUGGUUAGAUCCUUAAAUAUCUAACAUAUUUAUUUUUAUAAAAUAGACAUGAACAACGGUUCUCCAACCAUGAACGCAUGGAGGACACCCCAAACUCGAAGAUGUAUAAAAUGGACUACGCAAGAGGACAGGGCGGUCGACAUUGCAAACCUCCCAUUAGAUGGUGCAACAAGUUACUCAAGGGCAUCUACCCCGCUAUCUUCAAUCCACCCCGAUUCGCCACAUGAUCUGUUGCCCAAUUUAAGUCAGUCUCUAACAUUAAAUGCAGAACAGAAUCCGACCGCGCCAUUGCCAUCGCAAAACCGCCUGCUCCAUGGUAACACUUCUCAGAAUGAGUCACAGGGGUCCAUUUUCCCUGGUGCCAUUGCAUCAGGUGCUCGACUCACUAACAUGGCCCCAACCAACGCUCCUCAGUAUUCUAAUCAACCACAUCAGAGCUUUCACAGGCAGUGUGGACAUGGCACUGGUUUAUCUGCUCCACGGGAUCCCAUGGACACAGAGCCACCUAUUUCAUCACAACCUGGAUCUCCCAUUGUUGAGGGCCGCAAUUUCCUUCCGCAGAUUUCAGAGGACAUCAUAAAUACAACUGGCCCAUCAACAUCAGAAGGUAUAAUACUAUCGAUCUAUUAAAUGGGUCUCGUUGACCUGCCUCAUCACAUUUUGUUAAGUAUACUUACUAAGGAAAUACUUUUCUUCUCAAUGCAUUGAUUACUCAUAAUACAAGAGGGACAAUGCAUUAAUAAUUACAAACUUUCCUUAAUUGGUAAUUACCAUUCAUGUGGUCUGUUUACAAACACCUCGUUGCUUUGUUAUGGUGAGUAAGAAUGUUUCGAUCAGAGUCUAAUGCGUGAAGUUGUGGCUUAUAAAUUAGUGAUGCCGAAAGGUGCACCAGUAGGGGCAUCAUCAUUCCAGUGUGAUCAAUUACUUGGUGUAGGUAAUUCAAAUCUGGAUUGCAAUCAGCCACGUAUAUCUAGUGUAACAAGUGUAACCAACACUGUCCCGCAUUCUAACCGACCACUUCCAUGCUGCAAUGGAGAAUGUGGAACUGAAACCAGUUCGUUUCCCUCGCAAGAUUCGAGGGGCAUAUGUCCCGUAACUGCAUUACAGCCUACCAGCGGCCCUCACAUCGAGGCAACACUCGUCAAUUUGCAAGUUCUGGAGAAUGGAGCAAAUAUGGCUGGUCCAUCACUAUCACAAGGUACUUCUUGAUUUACCUAAAUAGAGACUGUCACUCCAAAUUAAUCAUAGGUAUUCCAGCUCGAGUGAGCAUUGAUGCUUUCAUUGCAGAAGUAGCCUUCCUUGUAUUAUUAACUCUCUCUAGUAUAACUCAAAUUCAUCUAUUUCCAUACCUGAUCUUGUCUCAAUUACUGUGGUAUCGUUGCAUAUUAUGCAUGUCCGAUGUCACUUACUUUACUGCACGGUUUCUUUCAUCAAGAUAUUUAAGCCGUGCAUGUUGAUUUUCAUUGUGGAUGUUUUUUGUGACCAAGUUGUGUGUUGUUUUACCUGUAUGCAUGGACACUCCAAUAUUUUAGUGCAACCAGCUUUGGUGCCCCCUCAACAUCAAAGCGUUUCACAUCAAUUCAUUAGUCCUAGACAAGGAAUGCGCAGCAGAAUCCAACAGGGCUAUCAUCGUCACAGAAAAAUCAUAUAGUCCCAUGUCACCCACAAGCUCCAAUGAACAUGGAUCCCUGUAUCCUCUCAUCAUCACAAGCUCCAAAUAAUGCUCCUCCACGUCCUCAGAUUCAACGUCGUGGAAUAGGCCUGAUGGGCCCAUCAUCAUUACCGGGUAUAUAGUUAUUUACCUAUAUUAAUCCUUAUGUAUCACCAUGUUACGUUAUUAGGGAAGCAAGAAUGCUAUAAUGAGACCGAAGGAUUUAAUUGCAGAAUUAGAUAUGAACAAGGGCGUGCCAUUGACGAGUCAUACAAACAUAGACAACAACUUUGAAAAGAGUAGCCAUUUGAAAAGAAAAAUAAAGCGACUCUACAGUAGAGAAGCUGACAUAAAGGAUGAGUUAAAAUUUGCCGCGUCUCUAUCCCUAAAGAAGCCGAGAAUGGAAGUUAAGAAUUGGUUGGCAGAUGUGGAGAAUCUUAGAAAUGAUUUUCAUGGUAUUGAAGCAACAAGUGAAAAUUGUUUGCCGCCACACCAGCAGGUUGUACUGAUGCAAGAAGCAGAAGAACUUAUAAAACAAAGCAAAUUCCUAGAAGGACUAUUUGUGGCGAGAGAGACCAGAGUCAAUAAGUUGUUAGAACGAAAGUUGGUGGGAAAGGCAUUUCAAAGAAAUACAGCAGAGAUUUUGGAGUACUUAGUGGAGAAGCAAAUAUCCCGACUAGGCAUUUAUGGAAUGGGGGGUGUUGGUAAAACGACUCUUAUGAUGCACAUACAUAAUAGACUCCUCGAAAAAGCAAACUAUGGCAAUGUGCUGUGGAUCACCGUGUCACAGGAUUUUAACAUAGAGAAGUUGCAGGACAACAUUUGGGAGGCACUACGUUUAGACAUACCACGAGAAAAGGAUGUGAAGAAACAAGCAGCAAUGUUGUCCGAUUGUUUAACCAAAAUAGAGAAGUUGACAAUAAUCCUCGAUGAUGUGUGGGAACAUUUUGAUCUUGAAAAGGUGGGAAUCCCUAUUAGAGCCAAUGGACUUAAGCUGGUCGUAACCACUCGAUCCUCUAGUGUUUGCAGCCAGAUGCAUUGUCAAGAGAAGAUAAAAAUUGAACCUCUAUCUCAAGAAGAAGCUGAGAGUUUAUUUUUUGAGGAGCUUGGAUCCGAAGUGGCCUUUAAUUUGGAAAUUAAAGCAAUUGUGAAGUCCAUUGUUAAAGAAUGUGCAGGCUUGCCGCUUGGAGUCAUCACGAUGGCAACAAGUAUGCGAGAAGUGACUAAUAAGUUUGAAUGGAAUGAUUGCUUGGAGAAAUUGAAUGAAUCGGAUAUGAGGCAAAUAGAUAUGGAAAAGAAAGUCCUAAUGAUUCUAAAAUUCAGUUACGAUCGCCUUGGGAAUUGUGAAGUUCAACAGUGUUUCUUAUCUUGUGCACUUUAUCCAGAAGAUCAAUUGAUUGGUAGGAUCGAGUUGAUAGAAUUCUUUAUUGACCAAGGAUUGAUUGGUGGAUUGAAUACGAGGGAGAAACAAUAUGAUAGAGGCCUCACUAUACUGACCAAACUGGAAAAUGUUUGUCUAUUGGAAGCUUAUAAGAAAAGUGAUUUUCCACAGAGAGAUUAUGGGGAAGGGAUGAAGAUGCACGAUUUGAUUAGAGACAUGGCAUUGCACAUCAUGAAUGCGACUUCGAUNNNNNNNNNNNNNNNNNNNNNNNNNNNNNNNNNNNNNNNNNNNNNNNNNNNNNNNNNNNNNNNNNNNNNNNNNNNNNNNNNNNNNNNNNNNNNNNNNNNNNNNNNNNNNNNNNNNNNNNNNNNNNNNNNNNNNNNNNNNNNNNNNNNNNNNNNNNNNNNNNNNNNNNNNNNNNNNNNNNNNNNNNNNNNNNNNNNNNNNNNNNNNNNNNNNNNNNNNNNNNNNNNNNNNNNNNNNNNNNNNNNNNNNNNNNNNNNNNNNNNNNNNNNNNNNNNNNNNNNNNNNNNNNNNNNNNNNNNNNNNNNNNNNNNNNNNNNNNNNNNNNNNNNNNNNNNNNNNNNNNNNNNNNNNNNNNNNNNNNNNNNNNNNNNNNNNNNNNNNNNNNNNNNNNNNNNNNNNNNNNNNNNNNNNNNNNNNNNNNNNNNNNNNNNNNNNNNNNNNNNNNNNNNNNNNNNNNNNNNNNNNNNNNNNNNNNNNNNNNNNNNNNNNNNNNNNNNNNNNNNNNNNNNNNNNNNNNNNNNNNNNNNNNNNNNNNNNNNNNNNNNNNNNNNNNNNNNNNNNNNNNNNNNNNNNNNNNNNNNNNNNNNNNNNNNNNNNNNNNNNNNNNNNNNNNNNNNNNNNNNNNNNNNNNNNNNNNNNNNNNNNNNNNNNNNNNNNNNNNNNNNNNNNNNNNNNNNNNNNNNNNNNNNNNNNNNNNNNNNNNNNNNNNNNNNNNNNNNNNNNNNNNNNNNNNNNNNNNNNNNNNNNNNNNNNNNNNNNNNNNNNNNNNNNNNNNNNNNNNNNNNNNNNNNNNNNNNNNNNNNNNNNNNNNNNNNNNNNNNNNNNNNNNNNNNNNNNNNNNNNNNNNNNNNNNNNNNNNNNNNNNNNNNNNNNNNNNNNNNNNNNNNNNNNNNNNNNNNNNNNNNNNNNNNNNNNNNNNNNNNNNNNNNNNNNNNNNNNNNNNNNNNNNNNNNNNNNNNNNNNNNNNNNNNNNNNNNNNNNNNNNNNNNNNNNNNNNNNNNNNNNNNNNNNNNNNNNNNNNNNNNNNNNNNNNNNNNNNNNNNNNNNNNNNNNNNNNNNNNNNNNNNNNNNNNNNNNNNNNNNNNNNNNNNNNNNNNNNNNNNNNNNNNNNNNNNNNNNNNNNNNNNNNNNNNNNNNNNNNNNNNNNNNNNNNNNNNNNNNNNNNNNNNNNNNNNNNNNNNNNNNNNNNNNNNNNNNNNNNNNNNNNNNNNNNNNNNNNNNNNNNNNNNNNNNNNNNNNNNNNNNNNNNNNNNNNNNNNNNNNNNNNNNNNNNNNNNNNNNNNNNNNNNNNNNNNNNNNNNNNNNNNNNNNNNNNNNNNNNNNNNNNNNNNNNNNNNNNNNNNNNNNNNNNNNNNNNNNNNNNNNNNNNNNNNNNNNNNNNNNNNNNNNNNNNNNNNNNNNNNNNNNNNNNNNNNNNNNNNNNNNNNNNNNNNNNNNNNNNNNNNNNNNNNNNNNNNNNNNNNNNNNNNNNNNNCGCCGUAUUCCUUAUCUAGGGAAGCUCAUAUCUUUAAGAAAGUUGGAUGCCAGUAACUGUGCGCGUCUUGAAGCGCUUGAGGGUCUAGACAAGUUGGUGAACUUGACAUACCUUGACCUUAUCAAAACACAUAAUGCGAGAUUGCCCAAAGGAACACUGGAGUGUUUACUAAACUUGCAAUGUCUUAAAGUUUCGGCAAUAAAUGAAGAAACAAAAUUGGGGACAUUGGAGACAUUUGAAUGCUACUCUGAAAAUGCGGAUGAUUUUAACAAGUGUGUGAGGGCUAUUGGGCAAAGUAAUAAUCCUCUCUAUUACGGCCUCAACAUGAAUAUAGAAAAAUCAAACUUUAUUGUGGAAGUAAGUGAUGAUACUCGAUUUCGGAAUUUGGGGAGGAGCGUCAACAUUGGGGAGUGGGGUCAUGCUAUUUUGAGCGUGGGAGGGGAAUGCACUGGCAUUUUUAUUUUGAUUCCCCGAAAUGUGCAGACGAUGAGAAUGGGAAAAUGCAAGGGUAUAACAAAUUUGUCUAGCAUGGAUCCGCUUAAAUACCUUGAGGACCUAGAAAUAGAAGAAUGGGAAAACUUAGAGGUGCUCUGUGGAGGACAAGACGAAGAAGUAAUCGACGUCCCGGCCCCAACCCUCACCCCUCACCCCUUCUCGAGCCUUAUAUUUUUGAAAAUAAAGGAAUGUUCAAAACUGAAGUAUCUCUUUGGACAUGGGUCUAAAUCCAACCUUCCGCAUCUACAAGUUAUUGGAAUAGCGAAUUGUAAGGAAAUGGUGGGGAUAAUAGCAGCAGUUACAUCCCCACCACCACAUUCGCUCCCAUUUUUGCCUAGUCUGGAAGGUAUUAUUGUUUGGGGCUGUGGUAAAAUGAAGAGAGCGGUGGAAUCUGAGUGGAUGCCCCACUUCCCUAAGCUGAGAAACAUUGUAGUAUACAAAUGUGAGAAGAUGGAGGAGAUAAUCAGAGGUCCUCCUAAAUGCGUGCCGGUUGAAGGGAUUUCUCUCUAAUCUCUUAAGGUAGUACAUUGCGGUAGCAUGAGAAAGCUGCUUCCGCAUGAGUGGCUGCUCCAUCUUCGAAAUCUUCGAUGUAUCUAUGUCAAUGACUGCCGAGGAAUGGAGAAGAUGAUAUGCGGAGCGGGACAAGGUCAAGAAAGAAGCAUAACGACUCCUGUCAACAGCACCCCUUCAUCCUUCCUGCCUCCAAUUUCUCUCCCAAAGCUAGAGCAGUUGAAUCUAUCCGAACUACCCCAGCUAAAGAGCAUAUGCGAAUUCCCAAUAAGCUGCAAUUCCAUGGAAGAGUUGUUUGUGUACGAUUGCCCAGAAUUGAGGGGGAUUCCUUUGCAAUUGCGAUUGCGUGAAAUUGAGAAGCUUCCGCAUAUUUGGGUGGAAGAUGAGGAAAGGUGGAAGACGCUGAUGUGGGAUCAUCCCGAUGCUCAGGCUAUUCUUCAACCUCAUCUAAAAAAAAAGGGAUACCCUAGAGGUUAAUGAGUUUAAUUGAUAUAUGAUUGCUUCACUUCUUAAAAGUCGUUGCAAAGAUGUAGCUUUUCUGUCUAUAUAGUCAUGCAGCUCUCAUAGUGGCCUUUUGCAGAACUUUUCGCCAAGGGAAUGGUUCUCCUGUGACUCUGCUCUUGAAGAAAGCCUUGUUGCUCAACCGUGCUUUCCUGCAAACUCGACUCAGGUUGCCAUAUGAAUUGACCUUUUCUGUGUGGCCAUGCUUUGUCUAUUUUGAAUGCGAUCACAUGUUUUAUUGACUACUAGAAAUAAGUGAAUCUGGUCGAUAUUUCAGGUUAGUCAAAAAGCAACGGAUCUGAAGAUUUGGGAAGCCAAGGGAAUAGCAAAGCCUGUUUCCUAUCUUGUCUUAUAACUGAAAGGACAAGUUAUUAUUAUGGAUUUAUCUCCUUGGGAUAUUAGCCUUCUAAGAAAAGAGGGAAUUUUGUGCAGCACUACCUUUAAUCUGUUUUUGUUUAGAAAGGAUUUCAAAUAUGAUAUUGCUUUAACUUGUCGAUCGAAAAUAUUGUGUCAAAUACGCUGCUUCCCUCUGUUGGAUCAGAGCAACAUGACCCCGAUUAAACUUGUUUCGACAUUAAACUAUCGGGUAUAGAAUACUUGAUCUGCUUAGUAGUUGUAUCAUAUCUGGAAACGUAGGCUGGGAAGUUUUCUCUUCACCCGUUGUCAUACUUUGAGUUAGAAAUGUAAAAAGACGAAGAAGAAAGAAUUGCAUAGUUAUCGCCCCUCUUUAAAUGCCUCAAAGUUGUGGAUAGAUGGAGAAACCUACAGCUUCAGCUCAAGUUACCAAAAAUUAGAGCAGUAACCACUAGCAAGUCAAUGGAAAAAGGGCCAGCUUAUAGGACGUGGCACUUUUGAAAGUGUUUACAUUGCAAGCAACCAGUAAGUUAGCUCUGGGAAUCUUAGACACGUUCCAUUUUUUAAGAUAUCCAGUCAGCUAAACUUUGACAUAUUAAGUGACAGAAAAACCGGAUCUCUAUGUGCACGGAAGGAGUUUGAGCUAUCGCCUAAUGAUCCAAAUUUAGCUGAGUGCAUCAAGCAGUUAAAGCAGGUAAUGUUUUUGUUAUGCUCUGGGAUCCAAUCUAUUCUCUCAUCUGAUCUAAAUAUGCUGGGAGGAAACUUUCUUUCAUCAUUUCCAGGUAAUUGAUUGUUACUACAGGAAAUUCAGGUACUUAGCCAGCAUAGACAUCCGAACAUUCUGCAGUAUUAUGUCAGGGAAAUUGUGAGUCACAUUUCCACAGCACCUAUGCAUCCCAGCUCAAUGGGCGUUCAUUAUUUGACUCGCCAAAAUUUCAACAUAUUCAUACGUACUCAGGUUGAGGAUUGGCUUUACGUAUAUCUAGAAUAUGCACAUCACGAUUCAAUAGACAAGUAUAUCCAAGAGCGUCUUGGGACCCUAACAGACUCGGUUGUCCACACUUUACCCACUAUAUUGUGGCUGGAUUGGCUUCCCUGCAUGUUAACAACUCCAUACAUGGGUAAUUCUAAACCAUUGAUCAAGCAUCAUGAGAUGGCUUGUGCAGGGAUUUAAAGGGAGCUAAUUUAUUUGUGGAUGCAUCUGGGAUAUUCAAACUUGCUGACUUUGGAAUUGCUAAACAUGUGAGUUUUUACCUCUUCACUGCAAGACAACUCAGUGCAUGUAGAAAUUACUUGAUGAUCUGUGGUGCAUUCGAAUGUGAAGUCAGGGACCCAGGGUGACUGCGAACUUCUCAUUAUUGGUUUGUGGCAUUUCAUAUGUGCAAAAAUCUAUCACAGGUGGAUGAAAUGUUAUUAAGUAAUUUUCUUCACUUUUUUUCCCAUUGUUUCAGGUAAAGUUACCAUGUUGCAUAAACAGGAAAAGAUUUCUUGCUUUAAAUAGAUGCCGAAACCUAAUGAGAGUUCUUUCCCUUUCUACUGGUUUCUAAAAAGUUCCUAAGAGCAGUAGUGAAUAGAACGCAAUACCUUUGGCAAAAGGUUGUGGUGUUGUUUUUGCUGCUCCUCUGCAUUCCAAAAUAGGAUAGAAUUUAGUCAGAGUAAGCAAGGGCCUCCUUCCUAACAUGGGGUAAAUAAAAGUGUAUUGAUCCAUAGAAUGGAAUUCUGGAUAGUAGCCAAGGUGUUGUUGCUCUCUUUUUGAGUUCUCAAGCAUUUGCUGAGGUCAUGUUGUUGAUUGCUUCAAGUUGAAAGUGGUUGAUUCAGUAAUCAAUCUGAUGUAUCUAUGUCUAUAAAGAUGUUGCUAUUUUAUCCAGUGUUCCAUGAACACACCAAGUAGUCUUCAGCUUUACUAAUGCUGUACCAUUUCUUAGCUAACCGGACAAGCAGCUUGCUGCUCUUUGAAGGGAAGUCUAAACUGGAUGGCUCUAGAGGUACUCUGCUUUUGUUAACGUUAAUGCGGCAUUCUUUUUUAGUUGUGGCGGAAUGAUGGAAUAAUAUGUCUUGCAACUCAUACAAUCCUUGAUGGUGAAUAAUUACAGCACGGAUCUCAAUCAUACUGCCGACAUGUGGAGUUUGGGAUGUACUAUUACCGAAAUGAUUACUGGGAAACCUCCUUGGACUAUGAGUGAGUAAGUACGCUGCACUGUUUUUUUUUUUUUUCAUUUUCUCUCUAUCCUUCCUGGUAAUACGCUUCCAAGCAAAUCUGUGUUGUCGUUUUCUGUUGGAAGUUCGGGCCAUGCGCAUUACCAUUUGGUGUGUGAUCUGUGUCAUGAGUUUCUAUUUAAGGUUGAAUUAUUAAUGCAGGCUCAAGCUAUAUUUAAGGUGAUGCGAAGUUCUCCAGUAAUACCUGAGACGUUAUCUGCCGAGGGAAAGUAGCUGCGGAGAGGCCUUCUGCUGCUAUGCUACUUGAGCAUGCUUUCCUGCAAAUUUGAAGUUGCAAAUGAUUGACUUAUUUCAAGUGUUGUACGUUGUCGCAAAAGGGAUUUGUUGUCCUGUAAAGUUCCAUAUUUACUAAACCAAAAGGAUCACACGGUCCAUAGAUGUGAUGAAGUACUUGUAUAUUGACAAAAUAAGGCACAUACUUCUCUUGCAUGGUCUGACUGGCGGCAUACCAAUCUAGGCAAUUUGACAGUGUUGCUUAAUCUAAACCUUUUACUGCAUAGUGCAUUCUUACCAAAAACAUUUUGUACGAAGUACAUUUAUUCAUCAAAAUGGAAUGGUAUUGAUUUGGCUCCAAAUAAGCAAUAGGUCACGAAACACAAGCAAGAAAACCCAGAAAAGAAAAAAGAAAAAGAAAACCGAAGCUAUAGUGCAUCAGAAUUCCUAAACUCAUUUUGAAAGUAAAUACUUUGUCGGUUUGGUGGGAGAAACAUUGGCAAGUUUGGCAAACCUGCAAUGUCUUCGGAUUGCGGUAGUGAAGGGAGUAGUAUCGAAAUUAUGGGCAUUGGAGGCUCUUGAUUCUUCCCUUCAACAGUGUCGUUGAUCUCAAUAAAUACAUGAGAUUUCUCCAACCAAAAUGGCCCUCAUCAUAUUGUCACCAAAUUCCAGUGAAUCAAGAAAAGCCAUUGUGGUCUGCUUGCAAAUGUAAAUGAUCAUGAUGAUCCAAGAUUUGCAGCUUCCGAGAGGGGAAUUCACGUCGAUUGUUGCGAUUAUGCUCUUGUCAGGGCAGUAGGGGAAAGUCUUUCGCCUGAUGGUUUUGCUCCCAAGUGAUGCUGCAAGUUUGCCGUAUUUUCCCCUUAGGGUUGUUUGUCAUUUUGUGGAACAUUUUUAGAAUAAUUUUGCAUCCCGUGUCUAUAAAAUGCAAAUAGCCGAUGAAAUCUAUUGAAAACAUCUCAAGCUAUUCAUUUACGAGAUUUUAAUGGUUCUUAUAUGUAUAUAAUUUACCUUCCCUUACUUGUUCAAAUUUUUAGGUUGGACUUUCACUUAUGUGAAAAUAGCAAUUUGUGCGUGAAUUGCAAAGCAAACAUACUUCCUUUUUUUCUAUUUUUUUUCUACAAUUAAAGUGAUUCCUCUAUCCUAAUGCAUACCGGAAAUAUAUGAUAUGAAUGACAAAGUGUAACAGAAAAAUAAACUCCUCGAAAUUUUGCAAAGUCGGAGGCGCCACUGAGGCCGAGCGAUAUCUCUCGGUUGCAUUGGAUUCUUUCUUCGAUUUCAUUUUCUUUUGUUCUUUUCCUCAUUUUUGAACCAACAGCCUAACCAUGAGGCGCCUUUUCUCUUCUGUCCCUUAUCUGUACUCCUUUUCUUUCGUACAACUCGUUCUUCUUUCGCUGCUUUUUGGAUUUUUUUUUCUUGGUGUCCUCUGCCCAAACCCUUAAUGAAGACAACUAAUCGGUGUUUAGUUUUCCAAAGUGUAGCAUUAUUGAGCACCAUCAUCGACCAUCAAGUUCGCUAAACUCAGUCAUCAAUUAACUAACUGUUCUUGUUAAACAGGAGCUGCACCAACGNNNNNNNNNNNNNNNNNNNNNNNNNNNNNNNNNNNNNNNNNNNNNNNNNNNNNNNNNNNNNNNNNNNNNNNNNNNNNNNNNNNNNNNNNNNNNNNNNNNNAGAUCCAAACUACAUAUGAAACUGGACUCGUAAUUGGGAAAACAUGAAUUUAGCAUAUUAUACAUUGCUCCUAAAUAAUUUUAUGCACAUGCCAAAUAACAAGUACAUGUAUAAGUUAAGGCAAAUAGGUCUUUAGCAAAUUGACAAUGCAGAAACCGAGAGAGCGUAUGAAGUGAUCUUUGCAUUUUUGAAACUCUGUUAGUGUACAUUCUAGUAGUUUUCCCUUGUCAAAAUAUACUGAUUUUCAACUUUCGCUGAAAUGUCACACGUUCAAUUGGGGGAGAAUAUGAUCGAUAGUCCUAAUUAGCCAAGUCACAAAACCAAUCAUAUAUUUAAAUAGUUCAGAAAUCUUUCUGUUCAUUCUAAUUAAUAAUCGCAUCAAAGAAUUUUUCCCUAAACCUUUAUAUUCAGUCAUAGUUACUACUUUUCAGUUCACUCUUUGAAAGAUUCCCAUGAUCUCUUCAAAUAAAUUAAAAUACAAUUCAGGGUUAGUGGUCGUAACUUUAUCUAUUAGGUAUAUAGCUUAAUGCUCAUUUUGAAUGAGGGCAAAAGGUCACCCCGUUUACAUUCACGUGUUUGUCACAUUGUGAUGGGAAAAUGGGAACGAAAUGCAAGUUCAGAGGCACAGGAUGCAACUUUCUAAAUUUCCAUUUUCAAAUGCAUUGGGUUCCCUUUUCCCCAGUCAUCUCUUCUUAAUCAUCCCGGUGCAAGGACAGGACUUUCCCUGGACAGUGAUGCACAACAAGCCAUUAUCAUUGUACUGAAGUGAAUCUGUUUCCUUUGAUCGUGGACGAUUCUAUGCUCCCGAAAUCGGGGUAAUAUAUGAUGGGGUGCGCUCUAUUUGCUUGCAGGUUCGUAACAAAGAGGAUAUAGCUUGGAAAUUCGUCAAUAGAUUGGAGGACAGCAAAUGGCGUUGUUAUUACUGCCGUGGAGAAUUCUUUAAAGACCUUACAGGAGUGAAAGGUCACUUGCUUGGAGUCCCAAAUGAAGGGAUUUCCAUUUGCACACAAGUGCCGGACCAUGUAAGAAAGAUAAUGCAGUCGUUACAAGAUGAGAUGGCUGAAGAAGAGAGCAGGGGAGCCAAUGGUCAAUCCUCCGCGGAACCACAGUCACGUGGCAUGCCCGCUCAAGCUGAGGUGGCUGAAGAAGAGAGCAGAGAGGCCAACGGUCAAUCCUUCACAGAACCACAGUCACGGGGCAUGCUGCCUCAACCUGAGGUGGCUGAAGAAGAGAGCAGAGAAGCCAACAUUCAAUCCUCCACGGAAACACAAUCCCGCGACAUGCCCACUCAAGCUGAGGUGGUGGCUGAAGAAGAGAGCAGAGAAGCCAACGGUCAAUUUUCCAGGGUCUGUUGAAUAUUAAUCUGCAGUUUUGCUUUCCUGCUUUACUACUUGUGGAUGCUAUUAUUUGCUUGAGAAUAAUGCUAUGCGCAUUAGGAAAAUGUACACAAGAUUGAUAGGUUAUAUAAUCGGGCGUGCUCUCUUUGCCUGCAUGUUGAUAAUCAAAAUGACAAGAUGCCGCGAGUUAAAGAUGCCGUGAGUUAAAGAAAUAGCCUGGAAAUUCGUGAUUAGACUGGAGGGCGAGAAAUGGUGUUGUCCUUACUCUGGAAAAGUUACAAGAGUGAAAAGUCACUUUCUUAAACAUUCAAACAGAGGCAUUUCUCCUUGUAAAAAAGUGCCGGAGCACAUAAGCAUGCUAAUGGAUUGGUUACACAAUCAGGUGCCUUUAAUGCUUGUGGUAGCUACAUUGUUUGCCUGAGAAUGAUGCUAGCGUGCUAAGAAGAUUUAUGAAAAAUGGGGAUAAUAUAUGAUGGGGUGUCGCUCUAUUUGCUUGCAGGAUCGUAACAAAGAGGAUAUAGCCUGGAAAUUUGUUGAUAGACUGGAGGACAACAAAUGGCGUUGUCAUUACUGCCGUGUAGAAUUCUUUGGAGACCUUAUGGGAGUGAAAGGUCACUUGCUUGAAGGGAUUUCCAUUUGCACGGAAGUGCCGGACCACAUAAGAAAGCUAAUGCGGUCAUUACUCGAUGAGGUGGCUGAAGAAGAGAGCAGAGAAGCCCACGGUCAAUCCUCCGUCGAACCAAAUUCCCGUGACAUGCCGAGUCAAGUUGAGGUGGCUGAAGAAGAGAUUAGAGAGGCCAACCGUCAAUUUUCCACGGAACCACAGUCGCGUGACAUGCUGUCUCCAGCUGUUCCUCGGUCAUCACAAAGCUUGGAAGAUACAGAAAACUUAUUCACAACAACAGAGUGGGCGACUGACUUGGAAAACUUAGACUAUGACCUAGAGCGUCAUUUUCUUGAGACUUUGGCAAUGCCGCCACCGGCGCAAAAUAUUCAUGGUAUGUUCAUGUGAAGUUUCUAUACAUGCAUCUAGGCAUGGAGAAAAAACAUAUAUUAUAUUCAAACACGUCGGGUUUUUUAACCAAAGUGGAGACUUUUAAAUAUCUUCUAUAAAAACGAUCUUCCUAUGGGACUUUCCAAAUGUAAAGAAAGUCAAAUCACCUAUUCCUUAAUAACAGUGCAUUGAAUGUGUUGCACCUGUCCAUUGGACCCAUUGGAUCCAAUAAACUAACUACAGUAGGUAGUCUUUUAUGUUCCAAUCAACUAUAUCCUAAUUUUGAUGAACUUCACGCAGAUGAAAACAUACCAUUUUCAACGAUAGCUUUAGCAGAAGUAGAAUCGGAUCUUCUUGAUCCGCCAUGUCAGCCACAAUAUUCCAAUCGAUCUCUUUAUCGCGAGGAAAUGCAAAUGAAUGACCAGCAGACUCCAGCAGGGGCAUUAUCAUUCCAGUAUGUUCCAUUACCUGCUGUAGGUAAUUCAAAUUGCUUGCAGGACUGCAAUGACUCUCAAUUGCAAACGCCAGUGGACGUAGAUCCCUCAAUUGCAUCACAGCGUACAAAUCACAUUACUGGGGCACAAAUCAAUUAUUUGAAAGUUCCAGAGGCAGCAACAAAUACAACAGGCCCAUCAUCAUCACAGGGUUUGUAUGGAUUAAUCUACAUUGCUACUAUGGUUAUAUUAGAUACUUGAAUAUCUCCAUAUUAUUUUAUUGAAAUCUAACAUAUGAUUUUUUAAACAAGAUAGGAACAUGGAUUAUCCAAUCAAGAACAUGCUGAGCAUCAUUGCAUAUUCUAUUUGUCUGAUAUCAGUUUUUAUCACACCAUUACUUUCUUCAAAAUAUUUAACUCUAAUGCGGUCGUUACUCGAUGAAGUGACUGAAGAAGAGAGCAGAGAGGUGGCUGAAGGACAAAGCAGAGAAGCCAACCGUCAAUCCUCCACGGAACCACAAUCACGUGACAUGCCUGUAAGACAAAAUAAUUUAUAUACAGAAGCCAGGAUCAAUUAAAGACAAACCUCCAGCCAUUGUUUUGUUCACAUUCGUCAGAAAACCUGAAAUCAAAGAAAAUUGGGGACACUCUACUACCCAAUUCACUCUCGUACUGAUGGUGUAUUCUGAAUGAGAGGGUUUGAGUUAGACAUUGUCAUCAUCCGUCAGAAAUGAACGUACGUUCCUAUUUAUACACUGUCUCCCAUCAAGACGGGCGGUUGUCACCAAAUGGUACGAAGCGUGGAAAACUUUAUGUUGAACAGUCGCAACCUUUAGAGAAAAUAAAUGUGGGAUCAUAAAAAUAAAUAACAUUCUCCCACUUGAUCCCAUCAUUUUCAUUAUACAGAUUAUCCAACUAAUUCCACAAAAACUUUAUGCUUAAAGAAAAGAAACAAAACACAUGGAUCAUGGCGACAUGUCCUCUAAGAGUGAGUAAUAUCUUCCAUGUAUCACAAUGCACCUUAUUUCUUUAAUGUCAGCCUAUAUGUGACAACAAAUCUUAAUGAAUAAACCCCAUGUUUAUUCCAAAACCAAUGAUAAAUGUUAUUCUCAUAAACAACAAAAUGUGUACACAAAAAUUGAGAAUCAACAUUACAACUGAAUAAGAGUUUCAUACAACAAAAAUCGUUCAUAUAACGACAAAUUACAUAAUGGGACCUAUUCCCAUACUAGUUACAUGAUCCUUAUACUUCAUUGGUGGCAUGCCUUUAGUUAAAGGAUCGGCUAUCAUCAAUUCAGUGCUAACGUGUUCAAUGACCACUUUAUUCUCCUUAACACGUUCCCUUAUGGUUAAAUACUUAAUGUCGAUAUGCUUACUUUGACUGCCACUUUUGGCAUUUUUAGCCAUAAAAACCGUAGCUGAAUUGUCACAAUAUAUUCUUAAUGGCCUAGAAAUUGAAUCAAUAAUUCUAAGCCCAGCAAUGAAACUCUUCAACCAUACACCAUGCGAGGUAGCCUCAAAACAAGAAACGAACUCAGCCUCCAUAGUGGAAGUAGCAGUCAAAGUCUACUUGGCAUUUCUCCAUGACACGGCUCCGCCAGCUAAUAUAAAAAUGUAUCAAGAUGUUGAUUUUCGUGAAUCAAUGUAUCCCGCAAAGUCCGCAUCCGAAUAACCAACCACUUCCAGGUUGUCAGUCCGUUUAUACAUAAGCAUAUAGUCUUUGGUACCUUGAAGGUAUCUCAUCACUUUCUUUGCAGCUCUCUAGUGGUCUAAACCUGGAUUACUCUGAUAUCUUCCCAACAUUCCCACAGCAAAAGCGAUGUCAGGUCGAGUGCAAACCUGAGCAUACAUUAAGCUUCCAACAACAGAAGCAUAUGGAAUGUUGUGCAUUUGUUCCCUUUCUAGAUCGUUCUUCGGGUAUUGGUUCAAAUUGAACCUGUCACCCUUCACAAUGGGUGCUAUACUUGGUGAACAAUCUUUCAUCCGAAAUCUCUCUAGAACCUUAUUGAUAUAGGUUUCUUGAGAUAGUCCUAAAAUGCCUCGAGGUCCAUCUCUAUGGAUCUUAAUGCCAAUGACAUAAGAUGCCUCACCCAUAUCCUUCAUGUCAAAACUCCUAGAGAGAAAUUGUUUCACCUUAUGUAGCAACCACUUAUCAUUGGUUACAAGUAGUAUAUCAUCCACAUACAGUACAAGGAAACAAAUUUUGCUCACACUGACCUUCUGGUAUAUACAUUGAUCCAUGACAUUCUCUACAAAACCGAAUGAAGAGAUGACUUCAUGGAACCUUAAGUACCAUUGGCGGGAUGCUUGUUUCAAGCCAUAUAUAGAUUUCUUAAGUUUGCACACCAAAUGCUCACCUUUACUAGAGGAGAAUCCUUCAGGUUGUUUCAUGUAAACCUCCUUCUCUAGUUCUCCAUUGAGGAAUGCUGUUUUCACAUCCAUCUGAUGUAAUUCCAUAUCAAAAUGGGCAAUCAAAACCAAAACAAUACGAAGAGAAUCUUUCUUAGAUACAGGAGAAAAAGUCUCCGUGUAGUCGAUUCCUUCCUUUUGAGUGAAUCCUUUGGCAACAAGUCUAGCUUUAUAUCUUUCAAUGUUACCCAAUAAAUCAUUCUUAGUUUUGAAGACCCAUUUACAACCAAUGGCCUUCACACCAUUAGGUAACUCAACCAAAUCUUAAACUUUGUUAGAUGCCAUUGAACUCAUUUAUUCCUUCAUGGCAUUGUACCACAAAUUGGAUUUAUCACUAUCCAUGGCUUGUGAAAACGUUUUGGGAUCAUUCUCAGCUCUAAUAUUGUAGUCAAACUCUUGUAAAUACACAAUAUAAUCACUAGGAAUAGCCGAUUUCUUUAUUCUAGAAGAUCUUCUCAAUUUUGCAUCGACAUUCUCUUGAGGUGCGUGUUGCUUAACUAGUUGUUCAACAGUUUCUGGUAAUUAUUGAACAACUGGAUCUACUAGAUCAAUAUCAACAGGUUGUGGAACUUCAACGAUUGGUUGUUCAAUAGCCGGUUGAACUGAAUAGGCAUUAUAAGCAACGACCAACCCUAAACUUGAGGUGGGAGGAUGAAUGUCUGGAUGAUCUUUCUUAGGAACAAGGUCCUUCGAUUGAUCACUCCCACUAAUCAAGUCAUUUUCAAGAAAUUUAGCAUUUCUUGAUUCCACAAUCCUAGUAGUGUGAGAUGGACAAUAAAAUCUGUAUCCCUUAGACCUUUCGGCAUAUCCAAUGAAAUACCCACUUAUGGUCCUUGGGUCCAACUUCUUUUCUUGUGGAUUAUAAACUCUCACUUCAGACGGGCAUCCCCAAACGCGCACAUGAUGCAAACUCGGUUUCCAACAUUUAAAUAAUUCAAAAGGUGUCUUUGGGACAGCUUUGGUCGAAACUCGGUUUAAUAUGUACACUGCCGUCUUAAGUGCUUCAGUCCACAAAGAUUUAGGAAGUUUGGAGCUGCUAAGCAUGCUACGCACCAUGUCCAAUAAGGUCCGAUUUCUUCUUUCCGCUACGCCAUUUUGGUCCGGAGAACCAGGCAUAGUAUAUUGGGCAACUAUCCCAUGCUCUUGAAGAAACCUUGCAAAUGGACUAGGUGCUUGUCCAUCUUCAGUGUAUCUACCAUAGAAUUCUCCACCCCUAUCUGAUCUCACGAUCUUAAUUUGCUUAUCGCAUUGUUUCUCUACUUUCACCUUAAAUACCUUAAAGGCAUCUAAUGCUUCAUACUUAUUAUGAAUCAAAUAGAGAUACAUGUAACGUGAGUAAUCAUUUAUAAAAGAGAUGAAGUAUUUCUAACCACAAGAGUCCAUAUCCGAACUACAAAUAUCCCUGUGUAUGAUUUCUAAUAUUUCUGUACUCCUCUUGGCACCUUUUUUUGUCUUGUUAGUCUGAUUUCCCUUUAUGCAGUCCACACAAGUAUCACAAUCAGUAAAAUCUAAAGUACCGAGUACUCCAUCAUUUACUAAUCGCUUGACUCUUUCUAUGGAAAUAUGUCCCAAUCUCCGAUGCCACAACAUAGAGGAAUGUUCUUUCACAACACAUCGUUUUAUACCAACUUUAUCAUGAACAUGCAUCGCAUCAUAAUAGGCAUUGUCUUGUAAAUUAAUUCGAAAAAGACCAUCAGACAAAAUACUACUCCCAACAAUUUUAAAUUUAAAUGAUAAACAAAAGUUUGAAUCUGAAAAGUUAAAAAAGUAUCCCAAAGGUACAAGUCUUGAAACUGAAAUUAAGUUUCUAGAAAAACUAGGAACAUAAAAGGUCUUUUCCAAAUUUAAAACAAAACCACUAUUGAGAACUAGUCUAUAUGUCCCAAUAGCUUCUACAUGCGAACGCAUCUUAUUUCCUGAAUAGAUGCUUUGUUCACUUCCCACUGGCUUCCUGUGGUUUUGAAAACCCUACAAGGAAUUCGAAAUAUGGAUUGUAGAUCCAGAAUCAAUCCACCAAGUGUUGUGACUUACAUCAAUCAUAUUAGAUUCAUAACAAACACGAGAUUUGAUUACCUUUCUUCUCAAGCCAAGCCUUAAAUUUGACACAAUCCUUCCUUAUAUGCCCCUUCUGUUUAUAAAACAAGCAUUUGGAUUCUUUCUUAAUGUCAGCUUGGGGAGGUAUUUUACCUUUUCCCUUAUGCUUGCCAUAGCCCUUAUUCUUUCCUUGUAUUGUCAAAUGAGCCACUUUCUCCCAAUUCCAUAACCAGUCUUUCUUCGUCUUGAACACACAUGGUCAUGAGUUCAUUAAUAGACCAUUUAUUCUUAUGUGUGUUAUAAGAGAUCUUGAAAGGUGCGUAUUGUUGUGGGAAAGUGUUCAGAAUAUAAUACACAAGGAAGGAUUCAGAUAUCUCAACCUCAAGGUUCUUAAGCUGAGUUGCAAUGUUCCUCAUUUGCAUGAUGUGCUCACGCACACCUCUAACACUAGUGAGCUUCAAUGAUGAAAACUUCAUAAUCAGGGUCAUGGCAUGCGCCUUCUCAGAACUUUCAAAUUGCGCAUCUAUGGCCUCCAAUAAAGCCUUAGCAUUGCUAUGCUGAGCAACCGAACCACAAAUACUAGGAGAUAUCUGAGCUCUUAUAAACAUAGCACAAACAUGGUUGGACCGCUCCCAUUGGUUAUAAAGAGCUAUCUCAGCUAGAGUGCUCGAAUCAGUAGGAGCAGGUGGUUCGUCUUUCCUUAUAGUAUAGUCAAUGUCCAUCCACCCCAAUUGAAGAAGAACCGACUCCUUCCAAACUUUAUAGUUCUCACCAUUCAGUAUGGGAACAUCAAACUUAAAUUCAGAGAAAUUCACAUGUUGCGAAACUGCAUAUCAAAUAAUCAUACUUAUGUCACAAAAUUUGAGGCAAAUAUGUAUAAAUAAAUCAUAUUUUACCAAUGUAAACAUGUCACAAUAUGAAUCACAUAACAUAAAAACUUCAUGUGGGCUAAGUUUUUAAUUUAAAUAGAUUCAUAAUUACUUCAUGAAGAAACUACCAUAUUAUAUGCAUUUUCUUAAUCCCUAUGGGUAAAUUAAGAAAAAUAAUAUGAUAUUUCAUCCUAAUUAAUCAUAUUAAUAUAAUGAAAAUUCAUGUGGGAUAAAAUUCAUCAUAUUAAUAUAAUUAAUUACAAUCAAUGUCCGUUUUUAAAUAUGAUCCGGAGGCUUUUAAUAUAUAAUUUAAUUAAUUAAAGAUGUUGUGGCCACUCUCUAAUUAAUUAAUUAAUUAUAUUGACCAUUGGACAUUUAAUUUCACGCAUAAAAUAUUCAUAACAAUGCAUGAAAUGACAUAAUAUAUAAAUACAUCAAGGGCAUAACAGUAAAUAAAUAAAUUGGCCAAGGGCAAGAUUGCAAAAAACAAGAAAAUUUGAGGCAAAAGCGUAAAUAGAAGCCGCAUGGAGGAGACGCCAGGCACGCGCCUGUUCCCGCGGCAGGCGCGUGGUCCAUACGCGCGCGGUUCAGCGCGCGUGCGCGUGCAACACACACACCUAGCAACUGCCACGCUCGUGGAUCCCACGCACGCAACGGUUGAGCGCCCGUGAGAGCGCGUGGCGCGUGGAUUCCACGCCCCUGCAACCGCAGUGCGCGCGUAGGCUCCACGUGCCUUCUUCCUCACACGAACAGAAGCUUUUCUUCGCCAUUCCGCCGCGGUUUCGCCGGCUAUUUCUUCUCCGGCCGGCCAUUUCUUCUCCAGCAGCCCAUCUCAGACAGAAAUAAAUAAUGAGUUUUGAAGAGCAUGCCGGAAAAAUCACACGGGUCCAAGUUUCGGUGAAAAUGAGCAAAAAUUGGCCCCAAAAUCAUACGAAAAUUUCCUAAAACACAAUUCCUUCAACCACUGCGACUUCCACCGCCCGAUUAGCCUCCGGCGAUCACCGAUAUGCCGAAAUAACUCAUGACUAAUAUUCCUCAUGGCGGUGCGACCGUGCGGGUCCGAAAUCAUGGGGUGGGUCGCCGGAAUUUGCUUGGAAUUUGGGAGUUUCUCUGUUGGCCUCAAAACUCCGAAUUACUGUUCAUGUUCAAAAUGCCCAAAAAACACACCAAAAAUUCGAGAAAAACAAGGCAGAGGCACUAGACAUGCUCUGAUACCAAAUGUAAGACAAAAUAAUUCAUAUGCAGAAGCCAGGAUCAAUUAAAGACAAACCUCCCGCCAUUGUUUUGUUCACGUUCGUAAAAAAACCUGAAAUCAAAGAAAAUUGAGGACACUCUACUACCCAAUUCACUCUCGUACUGAUGGUGUAUUCUGAAUGAGAGAGUUUGAGUUAGACAUUGUCAUCAUCUGUCAGAAAUGAACGUACUUUCCUAUUUAUACAUUGUCUCCCAUCAAGACUGGCGGUUGUCACCAAAGGGUACGAAGCGUGGAAAACUUUAUGUCGAACAGUCGCAACCUUUAGAGAAAAUAAACGUGGGAUCACAAAAAUAAAUAACAAUGCCCACUCAAGCUGAGGUGGAGGCUGAAGAAGAGAGCAGCGAAGCCAACGAUCAAUUUUCCACGGGGCCUUUACUCUUACCAGGAUUUUUCGAGUAUAUGGAACAGUUAAACUUCAGCCAACAGGUGCAAAAUUGCCAUGGUAUGUCCAUGUAAAGUUUUUAUACAUUCAUCCAGGCGCGAAGAAAGGAAAAAUCAUUAUAUUUUUCAGAUUAGUAACUCUCUCUAUAAUAACUCAAAUUCAUCUGCUUCCCUAUCAUAUCGAUUCCAAAUUACAGUUGUAUCAUUGUAUAUUCUAUAUGUCCCAUAUCGUUAUCUUUUUACCGCAUGGUUUAUUUCAUCAAAAUAUUUACUUAUGAGCAUAUGUUGAUUUUCGCCGUAAAUAUUUGUUUUUUAAUCAAGUUCUAGACAUUCGUUUUACCUGUACCCAUGGCUUGAUUUAAAAGUCCCAUUGUUGAUUUAUUUUACGCUCAACUUUUUUAGUGCAACCAGUUUUGGUGCCCCCUCAACAUCAAAAUGCUCCACAUCAAUCCAAGACAAGGAAUGUGCUUCAGAAUCCAACUGCACAAUCAUCAACAGCUCUAAGGGAUAUGGAUUUACGUAUCCUAUCAUCAUCACAAGCUUCAGAUGUUGCUCCACAGUGGCCGACCGAUGUUUCAAACUUCAACCAACAGGGAUAUCAAUGGGCCAAACUCUGGCCAACAAUCACAAGCAGAGCGUCAGUUUCCUCAGAGUUCAACAAUGCCGUCACUGGCACAAAAUCGCCAUGGUAUGUUAAUGUGAAGUAUCUAUACAUUCAUCUCGGCGGGGAGAAAAACAUCUAUUAUAUUUUUCAACGCAAACAUGUUGGAUUUUUUAACCGAAGUGGUAACUUUUAAAUAUCUCCGAUAAACAUGCUUUUUCCACACAACUGUUCAAAUAUGAAGAGAGUCAAUAACCUAUUCCUUAAUAACCAUACAUCCAAUGUGUUACACGUGGCCACUGGACCCACUGGAUCCAGUAAACUAACUACAAUAAGCAUUCUCCCGUGUUCCAAUCAACCAUAUCCUAACUUUGAUGAACAAAACACAGGUGAAAGUUCCACGAUGGCUUUAGUGGAAGCGGAAUUGUAUUUUCAUGAUCUGUUAGAUUAGUCACAAUGUUACUUUCAAUCUCAAAUGCAAAUGAUUGCCCAUCAGACUCCAGCAGGGGCGUCAUCAUUCCAGGAUGAUCAAUUACCUACUGUAGAUAAUUCAAAUUGCUUGCCGGAUUGCAAUCAGCACUCUCAAUUGCAAACUUUAAUGGACAUAGAUCCCUCAAUUGCACCACAGCAUACAAGUGACUCACACAUUAUUGAGGCAACAACGGUUGAAUCUCAAGUUUCAGAGGCGGCAACAAAUGCAACAGGCCCAUCGUCAUCACAAGGUGUGUUUGGAUUAAUCUUCAUUGUUACUAUAUGGUUCCACUAGACUCUUAAAUAUCCCCAAAUUAUUUUAUCGAAAUCUAACAUAUGUUUUUUUUGUAAAUUAGAUAUGAAUAGGGGUUCUCCAGUCAUGGACGUACGGAGCAUCUAUGCCAACGAUGAAGAGAUAAGAAACCUGAAAAGAAAAGUGGAAGAACUUGACGACAAAAAAGCUGUCAUAAAGGAGCAGAUGGAGAUAGAGUCUGCUGCUUCCUCUGUUCGGAAGAAGCCGAGGAUAUUGGUUGAGAGAUGACUGAAAGAGACAGAAAGAGCAAGAAAUAAUUUCCAAAUAAUUGGCCAAGCCAAUGUGGAAACUUUGCCACCAAAGGAACAGGUGGAGACAUUGACGAGAGAAGUGGAAGAACUCAUAGGAAAAAUGCUUCCACAAACACUACUCAUAGAGGAGAGAGAUGCCAAAGGAGUCAAAUUUUUUGAACGAAAGCUAACAGGUGAAGUGAUUCAUAGGAACAUUAAGUUGAUUUGGGAUUGUCUGAAGGAAAAUCAUGUAUGCAAAUUGGGUAUUUAUGGAAUGGGUGGUGUUGGGAAGACAACUAUUAUGAUGCACAUACAUAAUAGACUUCUCAAUGAUGCAACCUUCGAUGGUGUGGUUUUUAUCACUGUGUCCAAAGAUUUCAGCAUUUAUAAGUUGCAGAGUGAUAUUGGGGAGGCAUUAAAAUGUGGCAUUAAGGAGGUUGAGGAUGAGAAGAAAUGAGCAGCGAUGUUGUUGGAGCAUUUAGAAAGAAAGAAGAAUUGUGUAUUGAUUCUUGAUGAUGUGUGGGAACAUCUUGAUCUUGAAGAGUUGGGAAUCCCUAUUAGAGCACAUGGAUUUGAGUUCAUCUUAACCACUCGAUCCUUUGAUGUGUGCUGCCAAAUGCAAUAUCAAGAAAAGAUCAAAAUCAAGCCUCUAUCUCAAGAAGAAGCCGAGAGUUUGUUUUUGGAGGAGCUUGGACCCGAAAUGCCACUUAAUUUGGAAAUUGAAGCAAUUGUGAAGUCCAUUGUUAAAGAAUGUGCAGGCUUGCCGAUUGGAGUAAUCACGAUGGCGAGAAGCAUGCGAGGAGUGACCGAAGUGUUUGAAUGGAGGGAUUCCUUGGUGAAAUUGAAAGAAUCGACUAUUAGACAAACAUAUAUGGAAGGUUUUAAGAAUUUUGAAAUUUAGUUAUGAUUGCCUUGGUAAUUCUAAUGUCCAACAAUGUUUCUUAUCUUAUGCACUUUAUCCAAAUGAUGGAUUAAUUGGUGGAUUGAGUACGAGUAAUGAACAAUAUGAUAGAGGGCUCACCAUAUUGAACAAAAUGAGAAAUGUUUGCCUAUUGGAAGGUCAGCACAAGAGAGGGAUGUGGAUGAAGAUGCAUGAUUUGAUUAGAGACAUGGCAUUGCAUAUCAUGGGUGUGACUUUCAUUGUAAAAGCAAGAAAGCAAUUGAUGAGGAUUCCAUCCGAAGAAUAUUGGACUGAUGCUUUGGAGAAAGUUUCUCUAAUGAAUAAUAACAUUAAAGAUUUUCCAUUGGACAUGUCGCCAAAUUGCCCUAACCUAUCAACUCUUCUAUUAAAAAAUGGCUUGUCGCAUGAUGCGGUCAUCCCUGAUUCUUUCUUCAAAAAUUUAUGCGGGCUAAAGGUUCUAGAUUUGAGUGGAAAUGAUAUGACAAAACUUCCAAAUUCCAUCUCAAACUUGGUAAACUUGAGAGCACUAUUGCUCAGACAUUGUCAGGAAUUGCGCCGUGUUCCUUAUCUAGGAAAGCUCACAUCUUUAAGAAAGUUGGGCGCUGAAUACUGUAGGAGUCUUGAAGUGCUUGAGGGUUUGGAAAAGUUGGUGAACUUGAGAUACCUUAACCUAACUGGAACACAUAUUGAGAGAUUGCCCAAGGGAAUGUUGGACCAUUUAUUACACUUGCAAUAUCUUAAAUUUUCGGUGGUAAAUGAAGAAGACAUUACGAAAUUGGGGGCAUUGAAGACAUUUGGAUGCUACCUUAAAAAUGUGGAUGAUUUCAACAAGUGUGUGAAGGCUAUUGAGCAUAGUAAUAACCCUCGCUAUUACGACCUCAAAGUGGAUCGAGAAAAACCAGAGUUUAUUGCGAAAGUAAGCGAUGAUACUCAAUUUGGGAAUUUGAGGAGGAGAGUCAUCAUUUGGGAUUGGAGUCAUGCCAUUUUGAGCGUGGGAGGCGAUUGCACCAGCAUUUUUAUUUUGAUUCCCCAAGAUGCGCAGAUAAUGAUAAUGAGAAAAUACGACGGUAUAACAAAUUUGUCUGGCAUGCGUCUGCUUGAAUACCUUGAGGAGCUAAAUAUAGAAGAAUGGGAAAACUUAGAGGUGCUCUAUGGAGGACAAGACAAAGAAGUAAUCGUCAUCCAUGACUCCCUUACCCCAACCCCUACCUUUCCGCUCUUCCCCAACCUUAGGGUUUUGCGAAUAGAAAAAUGUACGAAAUUGAAGUAUCUCUUUGGGCAUGGGUCUAAAACCAACCUUCCGCAUCUACGAGACAUUCUAAUAUAUGGAUGUGAGGAAAUGGUGGGGAUAAUAGCAGCAGUUACAUCCCCACCACCACAUCCGCUCCCAUUUUUCCCUAGUCUGGAACAGAUUACUAUUGAAAAAUGUAAUAACAUGAAGAGAGUGGUGGAAUCUGAGUGGAUGCCCCACUUCCCUAAUCUAAGAAGAAUCUAAGUAUUCAAAUGUGAGAAGAUGGAGGAGAUAAUCGAAGGUCGUCCCCCAUACUUGCCAGUUGAAGGCAUUUCUCUCGAAUCUCUUACGGUAAUAGAUUGCGGUAACAUGAGAAAGCUGCUUCCGCAUGAGUGGCUGCUCCAUCUUCGAAAACUUCGAAAGAUCAUGGUCUCAUCGUGCAAUGGAAUGGUGGAGAUGAUAAGUGGAGCGGGACAAGGUCAAGAAGGAAGCUUAACGACUCCCUGUAAACAACACCCCUUCAUCCUUCCAGCCUUCUUCAAUUUCUCCCCCAAAGCUGGAGUGGUUGGGACUACUCAAUCUACCCCAGCUGAAGAGCAUAUGCGAAGUCCCAAUAAGCUGCGAUUCCAUGAAAAAUUUGACGGUGUACGGAUGCCAAGAACUGAAGAGGAUUCCUUUGCAACUGCGAUUGUGUGAAAUUGAGGAGCUUCCACAUAUUUGGGUGGAAGAUGAGGAAAAGUGGAAGACGCUAAUUUGGGAUCAUCCCAAUGCUCAGGCUACUCUUAAACCUUAUCUCCUAAAAGGGAAUCACACUAAUAGAGAAAGUCCUUUAUUUUGGGAGGGACCGAGUCCUCCAAGUGCUAUAGGUUAAUGAGUUUAAUCGAUAUACAAUUGCUUCACUUCUUAAAAGUCCUUAUAAAGAUGUAGCUUCUCUGUCUAUAUAGUCAUGCAGCUCUAAUAGUGGCCUUUUGCAGAACUGUCCACCAAGGGAGAGGAUCUCUAGUGACUCUGCUCUUGAAGAAAGCCCUACUGCUCGACCAUGCUUUCCUGCAAACUCGACUCAGGUUGUCAUAUAAUUUGACUUUUUUCGUGUAUAUUUUGAAUGUGUUCGCAUGUUUUAUUGACUAUUGGAAAUGAGUCAAUCUGGUCGAUAUUUCAGGUUAGUCAAAAAACAACGGAUCUGAAGAUUUAGGAAGCUAAGGGACGAGCAAAGCCUGUUUCCUAUCUUGUCUUAUAACCGAAAGGACAAUUUAUUAUUAUGGAUUGAUCUUCCUAGAAUAUUAGCCUUCUAAGAAAAGAGAGAAUUUUGGGCAGCACUACCUUUUAAUAUGCUUGUGUUUAGAAAGGAUUUCAAAUAUGAUAUUGCUAUAACUUGUCGAUCAAAAAUGUUGUGCCACAUAUGCUGCUUUGCUCUCUUGGAUCAGAGCAACAUGACUCUGAUUAAACUUGUUUCGACAUUAAACUAUCGGAUAUAGAAUACUUGAUCUGCUUAGUAGUUGUAUCAUAUCUGGAAACGUAGGCUGGAAAGUUUUCUUUUCACCCUUUGUUGUAAAAUUUCACCUCAACCCCACUUUGAGUUAUAAAAUAAAAAUCCAUCACCCCUCUUUUGAUUCCUUGAAGUCGUAAAUAGAUGGAGAACCCUACAGCUUCAGCUUAAGUUGCCAAAAGAUUAGAGCAGUUACCACUAGCAAGUUAGUGGUGAAAAGGCCAACUUAUUGGACAUGGCACUUUCGGAAAUGUUUACAUUGCAAGCAACAGGUUAGCUAGCUCUGGUAAACUUUGACAUGUUCCAAUUUUCUAGAUAUCCAGUCAGCUAAACUUUGACCUAUUAGGUGACAGAGAAACCAGAUCUUUAUGUGCAUUGAAGGAGUUUGAGCUAUUGCCUAAUGAUCCAAAUUCAGCUGAGUGCAUGGGGCAGUUAAAGCAGGUAAUGUCUUUGUUAUGCUCCGGGAUCCAAUCUAUUCUCUCAUCUGAUCUAAAUAUGCUGGGAGGAAAUUUUUUUUUAUCAUUUCUAGGUAAUUGAUUGCUUUGCUACUACAGGAAAUUCAAGUACUUAGCCAGCUUAGACAUCCAAACAUUCUGCAGUAUUAUGGCAGUUAAAUUGUGAGUCACCUUUCCACGGCAUCUACACGACCCAGAUCAAUGGGCAUUCAUAAUUUUACUUACCGAAAUUCCAACAUAUUCAUACAUACUUAGGUUGAGGAUCAACUUAAAAUAUAUCUAGAAUAUGCACAUCACGGUUCGAUAGACAAGUAUAUUCAGGAGCAUCUUAGGACCCUAACAGAAUCGGUUGUUCACACUUUUACCCUCCAUAUUGUGGCUGGAUUGGCUUCCCUGCAUCUUAACAACUCCAUACAUGGGUAAUUCUAAACCAUUGAUCAAGUAUCAUGAGAUGACUUGCAUACUAGAUUAGGAUGAUUGGACCUUCUUCUUUGUCCCUAUAGACCUGUUAAAACUCUUUGGCUUGCGCAGGGAUUUAAAGGGAGCUAAUUUAUUUGUGGAUGCAUAUGGGAUAGUUAAACUUGCUGACUUUGGGAUUGCUAAACAUGUGAGUUUCCACCUCUUCACUGCAAGACUACUGAGUGCAUGUAGAAAUUCCUUGUUGAUCUAUGGUGCAUUCGAAUGUUAAGUCAGGAACCCAGGGUGACUGCAUACUUCUCAUUAAUGGUUUGUGGCAUUUCAUAUAUGCAAAAAUCCAUUAUAGAUGGAUGAAAUGUUAUUGAGUAAUUUUCUUCACUUUUUUUCCCAUUGUUUCGGGUAAAGUUACUAUGUUGCAUAAACUAGAAAAGAUUUCUUGUUAUAAAUAGAUGCUGAAACCUACUGAGAGUUCUUUCCUUUUCUACUGGUUUCUAAAAAGUUCCUAAGAGAGGUAGUGAAUAAAACGCAAUACCUUUGGCGAAAGGUUGUGGUUUUGUUUUUGCUGCUUCUCUGCAUUCCCAAAGAAGGAUAGAAUUUAGUUAGAGUAAAGAAAGGCCUCCUUCCUAACAUGGGGUUAAUAAAAGUGUAUUGGUCCAUAGAACGGAAUUCUAGACAAUAGCCACGGUACUGUUGGUCUCUUUUUUGAGUUCUCAAACAUUUGCUGAGACCAUGUUGUUGAUUGCUUCAUGGUCAUUUUUCUCAGUAAUGAGCUAACAUAAGUUGAAAGUGGUUGAUUUAGUUAUCAAUCUGAUGUAUUUAUAUCUAUAAAGAUGUUGCUAUUUUAUCCAGUGUUCCAUGAACACACUAGGUAGUCUUCGACUCUACUAAUCUCUUACCAUUUCUUAGCUAACCGGACAAGCAGCUUCUUGCUCUUUGAAGGAAGUCUAAACUGGAUGGUUCCCGAGGUACUCUGCUUUGGUGAAUGUUAACGCUGCAUUCUUUUUUUGUCGUGACGGAAUGAUGGAAUAAUAUAUCCAGCAGCUCAUACAAUCCUUGAUGGCAAAUAAUUACAGCACAGAUCUCGAUUGUAUUGUCGACUUGUGGAGUUUGGGAUGUACUAUUACCGAAAUGAUAAUUGGCAAACCUCCUUGGAGUGAGUAUGAGUGGGUAGGUACGCUGCAUUGCUUUUUCAUUUUCUCUGUUUGUCCCUCCAAGUAAUACGCUUCCAACCAAAUCUGCAUCGUCGUCUGGAAGAGAUUAUUGUUUGGGACUGUGGUAAAAUGAAGAGAGCAGUGGAAUCUGAGUGGAUGCCCCACUUCCCUACUCUGAGAAGAAUCACAGUAUAUGAAUGUGAGAAGAUGGAGGAGAUAAUCGAAGGUCCUUUCUCAUACGUGCCAGUUGAAGAGAUUUCUCUUGAAUCUCUUGAAUCUCUUGAAGUAGCAAAUUGCAAUAACAUGAGAAAGCUGUUUCCGCAUGAGUGGCUGCUCCAUCUUCGAAAUCUUCAAAGGAUCGAGGUCGAUUAUUGCAAAGGAAUGGUGGAGAUGAUAAGCGGAGCCAGACAAGGCCAAGAAGGAAGCACGGUGACUCCUGUAAAUAACACCCCUUCAUCCUUCCAGCCUCCUAUUUCUCUCCCAAAGCUGAAGUUCUUGGGUCUAUGGUCUUUGCCCCAGUUGGAGAGCAUAUGCGAAGUCCCAAUAAGCUGCGAUUCCAUGAAAGAAUUGACAGUGUCCGGAUGCCCAGAACUGAAGAGGAUUCCUUUGCAACUGCGAUUGCGUGAAAUUGAGGAGCUUCCGCGUUUAUGGGUGGAAGAUGAGGAGCAGUGGAAGACGCUGAUGUGGGAUCAUCUCGAUGCUCUGGCUAUUCUUCAACCUUAUCUCCAAAAAUGGAAAUACGCUGUAAGUAAUGAGUUAAUUGUAUACGAUUGCUUCACUUCUUAAAAGUCUUUACAAAGAUGUAGCUUUUCUGUCUAUAUAGUCAUGCAGCUCUAACAGUGGCCUUUUGCAGAACUGGACGCCAGGAGAAAGGAUCUCCCUUGGCACUGCUCUUGAAGAAAGCCCUGCUGCUCGACCAUGCUUUCCUGCAAACUCGACUCAGGUUGCCAUAUGAAUUGACUUUUUUCGUGUGGCCAUGCUUUGUGUAUUUUCAAUGCGAUUGCAUGUUUUAUUGACUACUGGAAAUUAGUCAGUUUGGUCGAUAUUUCAGGUUAGUCAAAAAACAACGGAUCUGAAUAUUUGGGAAGCCAAGGGACUAGCAGAGGUCUGUUUCCUAUCUUGUCUUAUAACCGAAAUGAAAAUUUACUAUUAUUAAUUUAUCUUCAUGGAAUAUUAGCCUUCUAAGAAAAGAGAGAAUUUUGGGCAACACUACCUUUAAUUUGUUUGUGUUUAGAAAGGAUUUUAGAUAUGAUAUUGCUCAAACCUGUCGAUCCAAACUGUUGUGCGAUAUACGCUGCUUCGCUCUUUUGGAUCAGAGCAACAAGACCUCGAUUGAACUUGUUUCGACAUUAAACUGUUGGGUAGAGAAUACUUGAUCUGCUUAGUAGUUGUAUCAUCUCUGGAAAUGUAGGCUGGGAAGUUUUCUUUUCACCCUUUGUUGUAAAAAUUCACCUUAGCCCCACUUUGAGUUAAGAUGUAAGAAGAUGAAGAAGAAAGAAUUGCACAGCUAUCAACCCUCUUUUAAUGCCUCUAAGUCGUGGAUAGAUGGAGAACCCUACAACUUCAGCUCAGGUUGUCGAAAGAUCAAGCAGUUACCACUAGCAAGUCAAUGGCAAAGAGGCCAGCUUAUUGGAUGUGGCACUUUCGGAAAUGUUUACAUUGCAAGCAACUAGUAAGUUAUCUUUGGGAAACUUUGACAAGUUCCAUUUUUUUUCGAUAUCCAGUCGGCUAAACUUUGACAUAUUAAGUGACAGAGAAACCAUAUCUCUAGGUGCAUGGAAGGAGCUUGAGCUAUUGCCUAAUGAUCCAAAUUUAGCUCAGUGCAUGAGGCAGUUAAAGCGGGUAAUGUUUUUAUUAUGCUCUAGGAUCCAAUCUAUCCUCUCAUCUGAUUUAAAUAUGCUGGGAGGAAACUUUCUUUCAUCAUUUCCAAGUAAUUGAUUGCUUUGCUACUACAGGAAAUUCAGGUACUUAGCCAGCUUAGACAUUCGAACAUUAUACAGUAUUAAGGCAGUGAAAUUGUGAGUCACCUUUCCACGGCGUCUACGCAUCCCAGCUCAAUGGUCAUUCAUUAUUUGACUCACCAAAAUUUCAACAUUUUAUACAUACUCAGGUUGAGGAUCAUCUCAACAUAUAUCUAGAAUAUGAACAUCAUGGUUCAAUAGACAAGAAUAUCUAGGAGCGUCUUGGGACCCUAACAGAAUUAGUUGUUGCACUUUUACUCGCCACAUUGUUACAAAAUUGGCUUCCCUGCAUGUUGACAACUCCAUAUAUGGGUAAUUCUAAACCAUUGAUCAAGCAUCAUGAGAUGACUUGCGUAUUGGAAUAGGAUGAUUGGACCUUCUUCUUUGUGCUUACAGACCUGUUAAAACUCUCUGACUUGCGCAGGGUUUAGAGGGAGCUAACUUAUUUGUGAAUGCAUCUGGGAUAUUCGAACUUGCUGACUUUGGGAUUGCUAAACAUGUGAGUUUCCACCUCUUCACUACAAGACUACUGAGUGCAUGUUGAAAUUCCUUGCUGAUCUGUGGUGCAUUCAACUGUGUACUUCUCAUUAUUGGUUUGUGGCAUAUCAUAUGUGCAAAAAUCUAUCGUAGAUGGAUGAAAUGUUAUUGAGUAAUUUUCUUCACUUGUUUUCCCAUUGUUUUGGUUAAAGUUACUAUGUUGCAUAUAUGGGAAAAGAUUUCUUGCUAUAAAUAGAUGUCGGAACCUAAUGAGAGUUCUUUCCUUUUCUACUGAUUUUUAAAAAGUUCCUAAGAGCGGUAGUGAAUUUGUAAUACCUUUGCCAAAAGGUUGUGGUGUUGUUUUUGCUGCUCCUCUGCAUUCCAAAAGAAGGAUCAAAUUUAGUCAGAGUAAAGAAGGGCCUCCUUCCUAACAUGGGGUAAAUAAAAGUGUAUGGGUCCAUAGAACGAAAUUCUGAACUAUAGUCAAGAUAUUGUUACACUCUUUUUGAGUUCUCAAGCAGCAUUGGCUGAAGUCAUGUUGUUGAUUGCUUCAUGGUCUUUUUUACUAAGUAAUGAGCUAACAUAAGUUGAAAGUGGUUGAUUCAGUUAUCGAUCUGAUGUAUCUAUGUCUAUAAAGAUGUUGCUAUUUUAUCCAGUGUUCCAUGAACACACCAAGUAGUCUUUGGCUUUAAUAAUGCCAUACCAUUUCUUAGCUAACCGGACAAGCAACUUACCGCCCUUUGAAUGGAAGUCUAAACUGGAUGGCUCCAGAGGUACUCUGCUUUUGUGAACGUUAAUGCUACAUUCCUUUUUUUGUCGUGGCAGAAUGAUGGAAUAAUAUAUCUUGCAGCUCAUGCAAUCCUUGAUGGCGAAUAAUUACAGCACAGAUCUCGAUCAUUCUGCCAACAUGUGGAGUUUGGGACGUACUAUUAUUGAAAUGAUAACUGGGAAACCUCCUUGGAGUGAGUAUGAGUAAGUACGCCGCAUUGCCUUUUCAUUUUCUCUGUUUGUCCUUCCAUGUAACACGCUUCCAACCAAAUCUGCGUUGCCGUUUUCUGUGGGAAGUUCAGGGUCGUGUACAUCGCCAUUUGGUAUGUGAUCUGUGUCAUGCGUUUCUGUUUAAGGUUGAAUCAUUAAUGUAGGCUCAAGCUACAUUUAAGGUGAUUUGAAGUUCUCUAGCAAUACCUGAGACGUUAUCUGCCGAGGGAAAGGAUUUCCUGCAAUGCUGCUUUCGAAGACAGUCUGUCGAGAGGCCUUCAGCUGCUAUGCUACUUGAGCAUGCUUUCCUGCAAAUCUGAAGUUGCAGAUGACUGACCUAUUUCAAGUGCCAUAUGUUGUCACAAAAGGGUUGUUGUCCUGUAAAGUUCCAUAUUGACUAAACCAGAAGGAUCACACGGUCCAUAGAUGUGAUAAAGUACUUGUAUAUCGACAAAAUAAGACGGAUGUUCCUCUUGCAUGGUCUGACUAGCGGCAUACUGAUCUAGGCAAUUUAACAGUGUUGCUUAAUCUAAACCUUUUAGUGUAGAGUGCAUUCUUAUCAUAAACAUUUUGUGCGAAGUACAUUUAUUCAUCAAAAUUGAAUGGUAUUGAUUUGGCUCCAAAUAAGCAACAGAUCAGUGAAACAAAAGCAGGUAAACCCAGAAAAGAGGAGAAAAAGAAAAUCGAAGCGAUAGUGCAUCAGAAUUCCUGAACUAAUUUUGAAAGCAAAUACUUUGUCGGUUUGGUGGGAGGAACAUUGGCAGGUUUGGCAAACCUGCAGUGUCUUAGGAUUGCAUUAGAGGCUCUUGAUUCUUCCCUUCAACAAAUACAUGAGAUUUUCUCCGACCAGAGUGGCCCUCAUCACUAUCACCAAAUUCCGGUGAAUCAAGAAAAGCCAUCGUGGUCUGUCUCUGAAUUUAAAUGAUGAUGAGGAUCCAAGAUUUAUAACUUCCGAGAGGAGAAUCAACGUUAAUUGUUGUGAUUAUGCUCUUGUCAGGGCAGUGAGGGGAAAGUCUUUCCCCUAUUGGUUUUGCUCCCAAGUGAUGCUGCAAGUUUACUGUAUUUUCCCCUUAUGGUUGUUUGUCAUUUCGUGGACCAUUUUUAGAAUAACUUUGCAUCUCCUCUCUAUAAAAUACAAACAACUGAUGAAAUCUGUUGAAAAUAUCUCACACCGGUCUUUUACAAGAUUUUAAUGGGCCUUACAUUCAUAUAAUUUACCUUCACUUGUUCAAAUUUUUAGGUUGGACUUUCUCUUAUGUGCAAAUAGCAAUUUCUGCUUGAAAUGAAGAGUAAACAUGCUUCCCUUUUUUAACUAUUUUUUCUACGAUUAAAGUGAUUCCUCUACCCUAUACUAGAAAUAUAUAAAGUGUCACAGAAAAAGAAACUCCUCGAAAUUUUGUAAAGUCGGAGGCGCAGCUCAGAUUGAGCUAUGACUCUCAACUGCAUUAAAUUCUCUCUUCAUUUUCGUCUUCUUUUGUUCUUUUCCUCAAUUUUUAGCCAACAUCCUAACCAUAAGGCGCCUUUUCUCUUUUGUCCCUUAUCUCUCCCCCUUUUCUUCGUACACCUCACUCUUCUUUUCCUGCCUCUUUUUUUUUUGGUUCUCUGCCCGAACCCUUAACGAAGACAACUAAUUGGUAUUUAGUUUUCCAAAGUGUAGCAUUAUUGAGCACCAUCAUCGACCAUCAAGUUCGCUAAACUCAACCAUCAAUUAACUAACUAUUCUUGUUUAACAGGCCAGGCCAACGCUCGCUUGGGCAAGGGCGAGCCCCGGUGAGGGCUCCCAUUAUUUAAAAAUAUUUAAAAAUUAUUAAAAAAUUAUUAAAAAUGAUCUACGUCAGCGCCAGCGGUCCUACGUGGCACCACCAAUGUCCACAUCAGCAUUUUUCGGCCAAAAUUGACCAGAUGGACUGAAUUGGCAAUAAGUGAAAACGUUUAAGACUGAAUUGGCAAAAUUAAAAAUGCAAUAGGUUUAGGACUUUUUGGACAAUUUUCCCGAAAUAAUUGCGAUACCAAAUGCUAAAGGGCAAGACGGGAGACUUUUAUACGAAGUGAAUGGAAGCAAAGGUGCUUCUGAAAAGGGCAUUUUCAGAAGGAAAAGUGCUUGUGCAGCUAAGGGGGGAAAGAGGGGAGUCUUAUAAGAACUGAGGUAAAAGUGCUUGCAAAAAGGACAUUUUCGGAAAAAAAAAAAGUGCUGGUCAUAAGAGCUUUAUAAAUAGUGAUAUGGCUUCUUAUAAAACGUUUUAUACGAAGUCGGAAAAGUUUUGUAAGAAGUGACGUGGCUUCCUCUAUAAGGGCAAGGCAGGAGACUUUUAUAAGAAGUCAAUGAAAGCGAAAGUGCUUCCGAGAAGGGCAUUUCGGCAGGAACAGUGCCUGUGCAGCUAAGGGGGAGACAGGAAAGUUCUAUAAGAACUGAGGCAAAAGGGCUUCCAAAAACAGCAUUUUCGGAAGAAAAAGUGCCGGUCAUGAGAGCUUUAUAAAUAGUUACGUGGCUUCUUAUAGAACGUUUCAUACGAAGUCGGGAAUGUUUUGUAGCGGCUGACUUCGUAUAAAACGUUUGACUUCGUAUAAAACGUUUAAAUGUUUUAUACGAAGUCAGGAAAUUUUUGUAAGUGACGCGGCUUCUUUCUCAUGAAAAGCCCCCAGAGGACGCCGUUCUUCUUUUAAAACUCUCCUGGCCAGCACAUUUUUUUCAAUUCACUUCUUAUAAAACUCUUGUCUCGCCCCUUAGCAUUUGGCACCGCAUUUCUCUCACAAAACAAUUCACUCAUGGGGAAUGUUUUUACGCGCCAUUGUGAAGACGCGAUCAUUCCUGAAGCUGAAGCUGUGGUUAUAUCUGGUAAUUUUCUCUUCUUCAUCUUCUUCAUCUGUGAUUCACGGUCACCCAUAGACGUUUGAGUUGAGUUUGAUUCUUAUGUUAAAAUUUACGUCCUUCAUUUCCUUGAGAUUCAAUUGUUUCGCUUAGAAAGUUUGUCAACUAGAUAAGGGCUGGUGAUGAUGUGUUUAAUGCACUUUUGUAGGUCAGAUUUGGCGAUUAUGUGUUUGUUUUUCUCACUUUUAAGCUUCUAAAGUACAGAGAACUAGUCUUUUGAUAGUUACAAAAAGUACAGAGAAGUAGUCUUGUAAAGGUUGAUCCACUGGUAGAAUUGUGUGGCAAUCAUUAUGAGACCGUGAUGUAAUGCCUCUUUAUUUUUCUAAUCCAUAGAUCUAUUUCCCAUGUCUACCAUUCGUAAUGAAGAAGAGGGCAGUGAAGAAGUUGAAUUACAUGAUGAAUUUGCCAUCAUCAAUGUCCCCAUUCAAGGUGGAGAUGGCAAUACCAUACCCAGUGAAGAAGAGGGCGGUCAAGAAGUUGAAUUACACGAUGAAUUGAUUGCCGUCAUUAUCCCCAUUCAGGGUGGAGAUGGCAAUACCAUACCUAGUGAAGAAGAGGACGGUCAAGAAGUUGAAUUACACGAUGAAUUGAUCGCUGUUGUUGUCCCCAUUCUGGAUGGUGAUGGCAAUGGUGACGGCCAUAUUGAGGAUGGCGACAACAAUGUUGGUGAGCAUGAAGUGGAGCAAGAGGUGCAGGAGGUGGAGAAUGAGCAGGACGGCGGCGAGGGGGCUGGUGUGGGGGUUGUUGUUGGUCCUGCCGUUGCUGGUAAUAGAGCUGGCUUUAUUGUUCUGGCAACGGUGCUAGUGGGGGCGCUCGUCUUGUGGAAGAUGCGGCUGAUAACACUGUUAGAGUUGCUUUUGAUGGUGGUGGUAGUAUUGGCAGUAGCCUUGCUCCUUGGGCGCAUGGAUUGGCUAAACUUGAUAUGGAUCUUAAUCCUAAGACUCAAUAUUAUCCUAGUAUGAUGGAGAGAUUGACGCGUGGAUUGCCACGUGAGAUGUCUAGGUGGACUUCUUUGGAUGAUUUUCAGUAGAACAUUUUUGUUGCAGGAACCUCUGUUUGUAUCCUUAUUUCAUCAUGUAUACAUUUGUAUCAUUACUGGUUAUGUUGUCAAUGUACUUGGAAGGAAUAAACAUAUUCAUAGUUUAUUAACAGCUGAUUGUUCUCCUAUUGGUAUAAUUUAAGUACGCAUACGUAAGGAAUGGAGUAAGUACGGCCAUAACGAUUAUUCUCUAAUUUUAUGCGAGACUUAGAUAAAUUAGCCUCCCUAUACCAUAAAACCCGGUGGCAAUUUGAUGAACCGUCAUGUUUUCUUAGGAUUAGUAUGUGCACAAGUAGUUACGGAAUCUUAACUUUCACGUAAGAGGAUGGUCAGUAAGCUUUUCUUUGCCCAUGAGCUUAGCUCUCCUUUUUAUAUUCAGCUGGACUCAUCAAUGACAGAGGGUCAUUUGAUUCAAUCUUCUAUGUGAUGUUGAUGCAUAUAUGAUUACAUAUAAAUAGACGUGACAAAUGAGUGGACUGAAUUGAUUUUGGAUGGAUUAUCAAUAGGUUCAAUUCAAAUUCACGCAUUUAAUUCACGUUGACCCAUUUAUUUUCUGCACAAUUUAUAUGACACAUAGCCAAUCCAAACCCACCAACAUAACUCACAAUUUUUUUUAUUAAUACCAAUUAAACAAUUAUCAAAUUAAAAUAAUAAAAAUUAAUAGGGAUAAAUACACUUAAAAUCCUAAAAUUUGUCAUGAAGUAUAAUUAAAUCCUAAAAUUUAUCACAAAAAUUCAAUUGAAUUUUAAAAUUUUCAAAAAUAGUAAUUUAAGGGAUUUUUUUUCCCCUUCGCAGGCUCCCCUUUUCUCUCUCUCCAUGCCCGCUUUUUGGAAUUAAAGAGGAGAAGAAUGAAUUUUUCGCACUAACCUCCUUCUACUUCCUCUGCUUCUUCACGAACGACCAUAAGCCUUCACAAACCGAUCCCUUUUUUCUCUGCCAUGCUUUAGUCGAGCCGUAGCAGUUGUCCUUUGACCCGGAUGUUGCCGGUGACACCGUGGCCCGUCUCUGAGCUCGACGGCGAGAAUUGAGCCACCUAGAUUCAUCUUGCGCCUCUAUCUCUCUCGUCAUCCCCUUUCGACUUCGGAUGGGGCUGAUUCGAGCCAUUGACAUAAUUUCGUCUCAGAUUCACGGCCGAGUCGAGGCAUAGAUCUGAGAUCUAGGGCUCAAUCGAGCUCCACCAAAGGCGAGGGCUCAGUCGAGCUACACCAGAGGCGAGGGCUCUUGGGAGUUAUGUUCAGAUGAUCAUUACAUGAGAGACCCAUGCCAGUACCUACUCAAGGACUACUGCUUUGGAUUGUGCCUAAGAGACAGAAAUGAUCUUUCCUUGACCAUCCAGGACUUCAACUAUGCCAGCUUUUCAGGACUUAGCUACAUCAAACAUCCCCAUUAGUGGAUAAAAGUUGAAACGCCAUUAACCCGAGAAAGAAGCCAGUGCUUUUAGAAACUCUUCUGGAUAACAUAACAAAGUGCAUUCUGCCAAUGGUAUAUGCUUUCAUUUUAUAUGAAGCUAUAUGCAUGUCGUCAUUACAAAUUUAAAAUUGAGCUCGACUGCCCAGUAUUCAUGCAAUUUUCCUUAUCUUAGCCCCUCCAGAAACUAUCAAUGCUUGCUAUAUUAAUAAAACCAAAUGCUAUUUGAACAGAACAAGGCCUAAUUUUUCUUUUGCUCUUCCAAUUUCUUUGGGUUGGUUUGAAUUUGAUUUAAUUUUUGUGUUUUUCCCUUCUUUCUUGCCUUUUACCUAACAAACCAUGAUAUUUCAACAAACAGUGAUGACAAAGCAUCAAAUUAUGACAAGGAGAUUCAUUUAUAUUGAUUGAAUCAUGCAAUAGUGAAGUUAAAGUUAUUUAUAUUAGUUGAAAGGUGAUCAUUCUUGACAUGGAGUGACAGCAAAAUACUUUCGUACUUUCUCUUCGUAAAGUGAAUAUUGUUUUACUCUUCUAUUUAAAAUCUAACAUGUAGAAAGUAAUUAACUAAGCUAAAUAAUAUAGAGUAAUUUGAGAAAUGGCAAUAUCUAUCCGAAUUCCAACAUGUCAACACAUUGAACUUUGAUGUAAUUACAUAUAUCUGUGCACGUCAUACUCUAGUAUUCCAUUGAAUUACAGCAUAAAUGCUAGAGUAUAUAUUUUGAUACUCAACCUAGAUACUCAACCCAGUGUGCUUGCUGGUAGUCAAUAUUGACAAAGUUAAAUAAGAGAAUCACAGUGCAGAAAAUCAGCGCAUCUUUGGCUGAUUCAACUUAGAAAUAAUUAAGAGGGAAAGGACCUAUAGGCUCUUAAGUCUUUGCAGAACUAGUGAAGAGCUUUAAAAUGCCAAGGCAGGCGAUUGGGAUGCAUGAGAUUCUGCAAAACCUUGAGAAGUGCAAAAGACAGGGGACAGCAGAGACCUCAGUUAAUGCAAAUUCAACAGGCACAAAUGAUCAAUGCAAUCAUGCGAUAUGAACUUGAACAGAAAAUUGCCCAAGAGCUCAUUAUGGCAGGGCAAGCUGGAAGAGGCUUACCCUGAAGUGGAUUUACCCAAUCUUUCAUCUUUACAUCGUCUCUGAUCAUCGACCAUCGACUCGAAAACAUCUAACAGUUGAUCCAGUCCCUCUGGACUGCCCCCAACUGCCUUCAUCGCGUAGAUGGCACUCUCGAGAGUGGACAAACAUCCAGCCUUAGGCUGACUUCUAACUUCUCUGUACAAGCUCAUCACCUCCAAAUCCAACUUCAGAUGAGGCAACAGCUUCAACCAAGGAUUCUCGCUGUACAUUCUCUUUGCCUUCAUCCACGUGCCGUCCAGCAAGAUCAAGUUCCUGACUUUGAACUCAGCUGCCUUGAGUUCAUCAAUGCUGAGCGCAUUCUUGGUCGGAAACAGAAGUACCGACCCGCGCGGCACUUCAAGUACGAAUUCCUCAGAUUCUUCAAGCUCCAAGCUCGAAUUCAAUACAAGGUUUUGCGAUUUCCUAACCACAAAUCCAUUCGACAGAACGUCAUGAGCUGACUGGCAAUCUAAUAUGGAAUCAAAAUCAGCUCCUCGAUGACCAAUUUGAGACAUCCAAACAUGGUCUAUCGAUUCAAUAAUCCCCUUCUUGCCCAUUCGAAAACUGAUAACAGGUUUGCUGGUACUUCUAGACAAGACUCCACAAGCGCGC
RNAcentral lists this long non-coding RNA (64164 nucleotides) under Eucalyptus grandis. RNAcentral's name for it is "long non-coding RNA (EGRA_LNC003570)". Lineage: Eukaryota; Viridiplantae; Streptophyta; Magnoliopsida; Myrtales; Myrtaceae. The record is from RNAcentral.